UUUUUUUUUUUUUGUUGGUUAACAAAAGACAUGUGAAAAGUUUUUGUAAUAUGAUAUAUGCGGGGUAAAAAGAUAUUUAAAAUGUAAAAAGCUAAUUAAACAACAUAGUUAGAAUUUUAUAUUUAUAGUUUUUUUUUUCAAAUAAUGUGAUUAAUUUCCAAAAAGAAUCGUCUUGUUCAAUUUAUUGCCGGCAAAGGAUUGUUCCCUUAGUGUUGAAGUGGAGUUUUUGUCCUACAAUUGUCUUCGGUUUACAUGAAAGCAGGGGUGGGCAAAAAAUCCGAUUCGAUCGGAAACCCGACUAACCCGAUUCGUUCCGAUCCGAAAAAUAGGAUAUCAGAUCCGAUUUUUCUUAGCGGGGCAGAUGCAGGUUGGGUACCCGCAAAAACGAAUAUGGAUACGGAUACGGAUCAGCAAAAUAAAACCUGCUGGUACCCGACCUGCAAGGUAUAUUAUAUAAAUAUUAAAAAAAUAAGGGUUCAUUAUAUAAUUUUAUAAUUUUUAAUCCUAAGUGUAAGUAAAGUGGUUUACAACCUCAUAUUUUAAUCUCAUAUGAUCCACCUCUCCUUAUCUUGUCUAAAAAAAAUGAAUAUUCUUGGUGAAACUUGAACCAAAUGAAUAAAACAAAGAAAAAUUUGUGAAACUCUAUCACAAAAAUUGUUUAUCCCUUUCAUCCUUUUUCAUUUUUAUUCUACUUCCAUCGAUCUUUCCUGCAAAUUUUUCACCAAUUCAAUCAAAAAUUUGUGUUUGGAGUUCCAAUUUCUGUUAGCUAGAUAAUUAAAACAUUUGUGUCUUUCAUUUAUUUAUUUAUUUUAUUGCAAUUGUGUCGCUUAAAUUUGUCUCCUUUAUUUUAGUGCAAGAAAUUUAUUUUUCUUUUUCAUCACCUUUAAUGCAACAAGGUCUAUUCCAAAGAUGUAAGAAAGUUGGGGAAAAUUUUUCAAGAUUAUUUUGGUUAUACUUUUUUCAAAAAUUAUUAGUUCUGUUCAAUUCUUUUCCAGCCUUGAUUCCACAAUCGACUAAUUUUGGAUGCAAUCUUGUACCAUAAUAUCCUUAAGGAAGUUGGAAAAGUUGUCAUAUACUUAUUAUCCUUGUGUUUGUUAUGUUGUAAAAGGAUGAAAUGCGUGAGAAUGGUGAUGUACUCAAAAUUAUCAUAAAAUUUCGUUUUAUCCUUGUGUUUGUUAUACUUGGAAAAGUUGGAAAAGUUGCCAUAUACUACUUAUUAUCCUUGUGUUUGUUAUGUUGUAGAAGGAUGAAAUGCGUGAGAAUGGUGAUGUACUCAAAAUUUUCAUAAAAUUUAGUUUUAUCUAUUAGAUAUUAUAAUUCUAAUAUGUACUAAAUUUAUGAAAUAGGUUUGAUUAUUGGAUGAAAUGUGUGAGAAUGGUGAUGUAUGGAUUUUGAUUAUAAUAUCUCUACCAAUGUUAAUUGAAAAGCAUACUUUUUUUUAUUGGAAAAUAUGUUGAUAUUAAGUGAAAAAUAUUUUUUUAUUGGAAAAUAGUUUUUUUUAGGGGCGUGUAUCCUAUGACCCGCCCCUUUUUUUUCGGGUACUCGAAUAGCGGGUACCCGAAAACAUUAAGAGCGGGUUAGGAUCGCAAAAUGGCUGAUCCGAUAUUUUAGAGUCGGGUCAGCCAAAUCUUGUUAGGGGCGGGUAUCCGACUCGUGCCCACCCCUAAAUGAAAGUUGAGAAUCUUGCAAAAAUUGUAGGAUUUUGCAGAUAAUUCUUAUGUGCUCACAUGGAUUUUGAAGCUAACUUCAAAUAACCAUAACAUCUUAUUUUUAGUCAAAAGGGUUUUGCAGAGUCAUUAGCAGGAAAAAUGAUUUUUAUUUUUCUUCACUUUCUUGUACAUUGGUUUCCCGUCCAAAUUAACUUUCUUGUUUUGUAACUUCUUGUUAAUUUUUGCCCCAGUUAGAGCAAAAGCAAGAAUGAAUGUUAUUUUUUUCCUUAGAAAUUAAGCAGCUGAAUGACAUGUGCAGAGGUCGAAUGAUGUCAAACGCAAAUUUUUAUCUAAACAAGGUAAUGUGAGGUUAAUUAUUUGGCGAAUAUGGUAAUUUUUCUUGUUUGUUUCUUGUGUGCCAUUUGUCCUAAAUAUCAAUUAAAGCUUCAAAACAUUUUUUUUUUCUUUCUUUUCUUUUAGAGUAAAUCUUAUAUACACAGACAGUGCAUACAUUAUUAUUGUUAAAUUCAUGAUGCAUGUGUAAAAAUUGAAUUUCAAAUUCAAAUUUUGCAUAGUUAUCAUUCAUUUAAAACUGACAGUGAAUAUACUGUCGGGAUAUUAAUCCUUUCUUUUAUGGGUUGAGAAUCCUGUGAUCCUUCAAUGUCUUCGUCAGCUAACCAACUUUACUAACGUGACUCUUAGUGCAUCAAAGCCAUUAAGAUUCAGAUUGGCUCCUUUUUCUUCAUGUUUGGGUUUGAUAAUCAAUGAAUAGCUGUGUAAUAGCAACUCAUGCAGAGUACGGACAGCACAUACGAAUUUAUACAUUAUGUUAUUUUUCUCUCGCAUGAGAUUUGACAUAGACGUCAGUUGUUUAUACAAUACUUCAACUACAAAAAACGACCGAAAAAGCACAAGAAUACAGAUGCAAUAAGCAACACAAACCUAAGAAUGACUAAUGUUUAAAUUUUCGACAUAACACACAGAGUAAUGUUAUUUAAAAGAUUGAAAAAGUAGAUUAAUGAGUUAAAUAGUGCAUGUAAGUUGAAGAUCUAAUUUUGCAACUUUAUUAUUAUUUUCACGAAUUGAUAGAUGCUUUACCUUGCUUCAUUAGAACAUGACACAGGGAUAUUGUAACUGAUGUCUGGCAUUGUUGCUCAUAUUCUUGAAAAGGAACUUGCACAAGAGUAGAAGAUCAACUGCUUUCGUCUUACUUUUGUUCAUUAAACACCUUAUUUAUGUACACUACUUUUUAAACACCUUACUUUUGUUUUUUUAGUUUAAACUUUUGUUUUUUGGCCUGGAAUGUUUUAUUAAAACCUACUACUGUAAUGUAUGUAUGUAUGUAUCCAUUUGUUGCAGCAAGAAGAUCAGUGGAAAGGUGGUCAAAAACAAAGAAAAAAGAGAUCAUAUGGGAAGCUAUGGGGCAAUUUGAUGUGAUCAGUUUCUUUCUCCAAUAUUGAGUUUUUUUUUUACCUUAAUACAGGAUCUGAUUUAUCUUUGUACAAGAAUAGUACUCCAUACAUUAUGUUUUCGGAGUGAAAGAAAUUAAUAAAAUAGAAAAAGACAGACAAAAAAAUAAAAUAAAAGAAGAAGAAGAAGAAAAGGCCUAAAAAUCCUAGUGUGCUGCUAGCUUCCAGCUUUAUGCAAACAAAAACUGCUAACGCAAGCAUAUCUGUAGCCCCACUCGAAGUCGUAUUUAUCACACUUAUGUUAUAAGGGUUAUUUAAUACGAGCGGCAGAGAUGAGAUAUCUUUUGGGGUUGAUGGUUUCACCGCCAUUGGAUUGGGAAGGCCCUCCAACAUUUGCAAUAGACACCUCAUUUAUUUUUGUGGUUGAGAUGAAAUAUUUCAUGAGCUGAUCAUUGAGCACCAUUGGAUUACAAUAGCCCCCCACAGUUUUUGCCAUAUUUUCUCCAAAGCCCUCUUCUGGGGGUUUCUGAUCAAAUCUUCACGAGCUACUUUAAUGGAGGAUUUGGGAUUAAACUUUACAGAGAAGGCAACAAACGGAAAGAGCACCUUUUCAGCCAAAAGCUUGAGGGAUAGAGGAGUAAGAGGAGAGGGCUAGUUUUUGAUUAGGAUAAACAUUCUCUAAUGUAAGUCACUUUCCUCACAAUUAUUUUCUAUUCAUUUUUUUUAAAUUAUUGUAUUUUAGUUCUUUUUUUAUUUUUUUUGUCAUGUAAAUUUGUACUCCUUGAUCCACUGUUGUUACUAAUCUAUCAUCAAUGAUGAGAGUUGAAGAAUUUCCCUUUAUCUUUCCUUUUCUGUAUUCCAAGUUAAUUAUUUGUUAAUAUGUUGUGAGUAAGAUAUUGAGCAUCAACAAACAGCUAUAUGGCAACUCUUUUAAUGAUUUGGAAGUGAAUUGCCGAAUCUGAUUGGAAGAAAUAAUUAAAAAAAAACGUAGGAUAGUCUUGAAUCUAGUUGCUAUAAUUGUGAACAAAUGAUCAACGGAUUAAGGUAAAAAAAAAAAUUUUUUUUGAAAAGAAAAAGUUAAGGUAAAUCAAGAAACAUCCAGUCACAGAAGCCCAUGAUCAGGCACUUGAUCUGGAACCUAUAUAUACUUCCGCUUAGAAAGUGAAAGCCCAUUCCCCUUUAUCCAUCAAAAGUUUCAUUUCACCAAAUAUUACAUGCCACAGGACUUUUUAGUCAAGAAAUCUCUAUAUACCAAAAUGUUCCUUUUCAAAUUGGUUGAAGAAGGAAAAAAAACAUUGCAUGUAGUUUCCAAAAGGCAAUGUAGAGUAAGUCCAAGAAGUACUUGUUACUAUUGUAAGCAUAAUAUUUGCUUCAAACCAACUCAAAAUACAUAUGGAGAUAACCAAUGCAAUAUGGUGUCACUAGCGGAAGAACAAUAAUCAGUAAACAGCUGAUUUCUCAUGUGUUUAUUUAUUUGCAUGGAAAUCUUACUGUUAUGGUUUAAAAUAUCUUCAAAAUCAAGUGGAAAAAUGACUAAAAGGGAUUUUUCCAUCUAUGAUCAAUAUCCUUUUUUGUUUCAAAUGAUCCCUUAGAUCCUUGAUUUUGUCACAGCUAAUGUUGCAUUCAUUUUAGUUUGUGGUACCAGGACUAAAUUCAGUGAAACAGACAGAUUCUGGAGUCAUAAAAAGGAAAAUCAUUCAAAAAUUUUGUGAUUUUCUUUGUGUUUUGAAAAGGAGAAGUAAUUGGCAAUUUGGCAUAUAUCCCUGAGGUAGGAGAAGUGACAAAUUCUAUAAAUGGGCCAGUUUUAGAAAGUCCCUUAAAAAUUUGAGGUUUGGCCCUGUCCCUAGACUGGUAAAGGAUUGUUUUUCCGGGAUUGGGGAUUGACAUACAUUUUAUCAUUUCUCCUCUUAUUAUGGUCAAAGUAUUUCUUUAAUUGAUAUCUCUUUUUUUUUCUUGACUCACGCAUAUCUUUCUACUGUGUCAUUUCUACCUAAUUUGGACUGAUUGAGCAUAAAGAAGCUAAAAUGAGAUGAUUUUCCUCUUUUUUGGCUGCUCAAAGAAACUCAAGUGAUGGCCAGGGAUAAACAAAAAGAAAAAAAACCCCAACUAUGGUUUUUUUUUUAAAUUUUUUUUUAUCAUUAUUAAAAGGGCAACCUCAGCUGUGACAGUUGUAUAUUUGGAGCUGAUUCAGGUUUGUUCUUGUACCACCUUAAUUUGUUUUAAUGCUUAUUUUCCCCUUUGAGGCGUUUACUUGUACUUCAACUCUUCGUGUACAUGUAUGCACACAUGCAUGCAACAAAGACAUGACUAUGGAAAGAACUAAGGGGGCUGGAAUAAAAUCGAUAGCUCAUUCUCAAUUCUUAAUACUAUAGUAAAUUACGAGUGAAAUCAAUAUUAUAUGGCUCACAUCCUGCAAAAAAGAAUAAUGUCGAUACUGUAUUACUGGUAAUUCAAGAAAACACCUAGUUCUAGCUAGUUGGAAGUUGGCAUGGUGCAUGCAGAAUUAGUCUUCAUGGAUUCUUCUUCAGAGCGUCUAUAUACCUCACUUCCAUGAUGUCAUUAUUUGAAAUGAAGUCAAGAAAACCACUGAAGCUCCCUUCUGCGUAGGACAAAGGAUGUUGAUCAUCCACAAGCAGCGGGGCAGGUCCUACCUUCCUCUCUAAGGCUAAACUAUGAAGGCUCGCAAUGGAAAUACGAUCAGUGUCCGAGUUAACCGUAGCGCGGUGGACAAGGCUCUUACAUAGACCAUUGCUGAUUAUUUCCAUUUGAUCUCCUAUCUGAAUCACCAGGGCUCCUUUCCUGACUGGAACUUGAUACCAUUUCUUGUCAUGGCUCAUGAUUUCUAGUCCCUGAUGAUUUUGAAGUAUUAUAGUCAUGUAACCGUAGUCCGAGUGUGGUGGCAUGCCUAGUACGAGAUCUGGUUCAGGACAUGUAGGAUAGCAGUUCACAGCCAUGACUUGGGAUCCUUCAUCAAUGCCCUCAUGUAAGUACUUAGGGCUUAGCCCUAAGUUCUCAAAUACAACUCCCAUCAACUUUCUAUGCAAUGCAUGCACGGCUUGCGUAUAGUUUCCCAUUUUUUCCCUACAAAAUGGCAAAACAUGAUGUUAUGUUAUAGGUUAAAGAAUUAGGUAUUUAAUUAGCUUUAUUGAUGCUUUGCAAAGCUUCUUUCAAGUGGCCCUAAAUCUACUUACUUGUAGGUUUUUGGAUUUGAUGGCCAUUGGUCGAUCCAAGUUGAAAUCGGAUGAGAGUAAUGUUUGAUGAAGUCUCUCCAAAAGAGAACCCUAUCCUCAACAUGAUUCAGACUGGUUCCAUAUCUAACAGGUUCGCGGAUAUUGGCUGAUGCAAGUGACAUCUUCUCUUCGUGUGGCAACUCAAAGAAGUCAGUUGCAGCGUCUAGGGCAUCAUUCAUGACUGAAAGAGGUAUCCCAUGAUUAAUGACCUGCAAAACAUACGAGUCAUUAAUUGUUGCAUUACCGUGGCAUAUGCAUGCAUGCCAAUCCUAUGCCAAUGGAAAUUGCUAUUCUGCCUAGCUUCUUUUUGUUGCUCAACAGCUUCGAGCUUUUUGCUCCAGGUUUUUGCAUUAUUGCAAAAACCAGGUAAAUAUUUCGAUGAAACACAGAAAUCAUGCGGGAUCUUAGUUAAUGGCAGUGAAUGGUGCUACUCAUGCAUGUCACAAGGAACAUGAAUUCCUGCAUGUUCGUUGCAUGACCACUCCAAUACGUUAUACCAUUGAGGUUGGUAAAUCAUUAGCAAAAUCAACAAAAAUCUGAAAAUAUGAAAUAUAUGUCCGUACAUGCAUGGUGUUCUCAGAAACUUCUUGUCUUUCUCUUCAGGAAAAAUCAUGCGAUUCUUGUGCAUGCAAGAGACAGGAUUAACGGCCUAUAAUGUAUACCUGGAAAAAUCCUGAGUCCUUGCAUGCCAGGCGUACUUCCUCCUUGAUUCGAAGCCCAUGAAUUGGAUGGUGUAACGAGGACAGGUCUAUAAUGGGCGAGACGAUGGCAGGAUUUGGACAAAGGCCAAGAUUAGGGCGCUGCGAUGGAGGAAGAACAUAGCGUUUGGGAACAGAAGCAGCAGCCCCCAUUUGGGAGAGUUUCAAGACGCUAGUGAAUGAAGUGGGAGCAGCAGAACUCUCUCGUUUGUCUUCCAUGACACUGUCCCUUUCCUAUUUUUGUGAAUGGCCUCAACUAGGCGGCCUACUUGCUAUUUAUACAGCUAAAAGUACAUCCAGAAAUUAACUUUAUAUUUCCUUGACAAUUUGCACAGCCCCUGUACAGUUUCAAUGAAUUUUGAUAUAAAAAUGAUUUGUGCUGACGCCUACAUAAAACAACACGAAUGGUCUCCACUUUGGAGUCAGCCAUCAGUCCACUAAUGGCAGAUGAUAUUUGUUUCUCUAUGUCAUGGUACGCUAGUUAAAGAUGCACCUUUUUGGUAGGACAUUAAUUACAAAUACUAUACUUUUUGAGUUGCAGAAUGCCGUUUACCUAGUCUUGGUUUGAAGAGGAUUGUUAUUCCAAUCCUGGUAAAUCCACCUUGUUAUGGUUCAAGAGGGAUGCUAUUUUUCUUUAAAUAUAAAAAAAAGAAGAAAAAUAAAUAGUGAUUUCCUACUUAUUCUCUGAUAAUUCGAACCCGUUAUCUCUCAAUUAUAAAUAGAGUAGUAGAUCCAUAAUCUCUUAGUUAUAGGUGAGGUAUCUUAUUAACGAAACCAUAUUUCCCUCUUGUCCGAGAGGGACGCACUUACUAGCUAGAGAGAGGGUGCAAGUUGAUUAAACCAAUUCACGUACGUCACAGAAGUGGGAAUAAGUUAUUCUAUUGUGGUUUUUUAAUUUGGACCAUAAAUACAUAAGAAAAGCAUUUCUCAAAUGAAAAACUUAACCAAUGGCAAUAUUGUGAACUUGGUCUAUCAUUAAUUGGGACAGCUCUAGCGUCUGCUCAUGCCGAAUUGUUGUAGAGAAUGGAGCCCGUUACUACAUUCACGGCAGCUUUGACGUUGUUAGGGGCAAAUCUGUGCAUGUCUCCCCUGAAUUUCAUACUGCCAAAUAACGUUGUUAGGUUUUUACCAUUCAUAUACGGUUGGUUACUUGAAGCCAAGUUCUUUCAUUUUCAAAUCUAGACGAUCGAUUCUAAGCAACAAUUAAACAAGUGAUUCCAUUUCAAAGUGUUCUCACAGCCUCAAAGGGAAAAAGAGAUCUUCAAACUUGAGAGUGUAUCUAGCCUAAUUAAGAGGGUUGGUUGGUUGCCGUUGGAAAAAUACUUCAAAAGAGGACAUGCAUGUAAUAUACGUUAGACUUGGGAGCUUAUACAAUAAUAAUAUUUUGAACGAAAGACUGGCUCUGUGUUUCUUUGGCAGAUACUAAAUUCAACACGUAUGGAUAAAUUGCAUUGAAUCUCCUUAUCUUUAUAGGAAUUACUUAGAUCUCCCUUCAACUUCUUUGAAUUUGCAAAAAUUAUACGUGUCCAUGCAGAAUGGCCCUAAUUCUCACCUAUAAAGUGAGUGUUUGUUUUUGUUUUUUGGACUUCAUUAUAACAUAGAAUUAAAUUGACUAAUUUACCCUUAUUUACUAUGUAUAAAGCUAUCAACAAAAUUAACAAAGAUAUUUAUGUCUUCCACACAUACUUUUCUUCUUUAAUACAUAUCGAGAUAUGUUUUAUGUUUGAUGGUUUGCUUAGCUUUUUGACGUGUUUUCAUUAAUUAAUAAAAAAAACUUUCGUGUCAUCCUUAGGGAUAUUGCAAUCUCCUUUUCAUCAGUCUAAUAUACCAUAAAAUUCCAAGAGAAACAAAAAAAAAAAAACAUGUAAUCCAAGAAUAAUCGGCGCACGCAAUCUUUUUCACGACUAUGUGCAGACACGCGAAAGGAUGCGAAUAAAAACAAAUUUCUAUUUUAAAGCCGCAAAAAUAAUCAUAAAUAUAUAUUUAUUGAAACCUAAAAGUAAUUGUAUGUCUUGUACAACAAGUUUCUUCAACAAAAGCUUAUGUGAUUCGACUACUGCCAAAUUCAAAUUUGAGUCAAGCUCGAGAAGGAAAAAUGACUCGAUUUGACUCUAUUUUAAGCACUAUAUUUUCUCAUUUAGACCAUACAAGUAGGGUUCCAAAUAUAAAGCUAAAAUUAAUUAUAUUUAUAUUGAACUUGGCUUUCUACCCUAACCGUACCAACCCUUGGGGUUCGUUUGGGAGUGGAGGAUUUGGAUAGAAAAGAAAGGGAAAGAAGAGAAAGUUUACUUUUGCUUCAUUUGUUAGUUUUAAGUAGGAAAGAAAAGAAAGGAAAUGGAAGGAUGAAUAGUUAUCAAAAUGCUUCCUCCCAAAUCAAAAGGAAAUGGGAAGAAAGUUUGGAGAAAACUUGAUAAUUUUUUUUAAAAUGCCUAUUUUGUCCUUAAAAAGGUUUUGAACAAAUAUUUAAUGAUUUCUAUGUCCAAAAUCAUUCCACUAAUUCUCAAAACUCCCAAACAACAUAACAAUCGCUUCUCUUCUCUUCUCUCAUAACUUAAGCUUUCCCUUCUUUUCUUUUCUAUCCUAAACUCCCAAACUAAGCCUUGGUUUUUGUGGGCAAGCGAUUCAUAUCUUCUUAUUUCAAAAUUAAUUGAAUGACAUUUGAACAAAACCACGUCGUUUAAGAGAAUACUCUUCUGCUAUUAUGGAUCCUGUCCGUAUUAUAUUGGGCUACUAGCCCAAUGGACCAAUGGUUGGACGGGUAACGUAUUAAUAAGCAGUUCGAUUUUGACAACCUCACUUUCCAGACAUAGCAAAAGCUAUGCAAGAGGACACGUGUAAACGUACUUGCAAGGAAGACCAAUUAAUUAAAGGUAAUACUAUCAACCUCUAACCUGAUUAAUUAUUUGCUUCCCGCAAUGAUUGGUUAAAUUCCGAAUCAUUUGUUUCGUUGGAAUCGUUCUGCUUUGGCAAAACACUCUUGUUUUCUGCUAUAUGAGUAUUAUAAGAUCUGCUUACCUAAUGAUCAUCAUUUAAGUUCUUUCGGUCUUAUCAUGAAACGUUAGAUAAUGACGAAUACAAGAUUGACUUUUCUGCUUCACUAUUUCGGUCACAAACAAAACAGACAAAGUCAUAGUAAAUGAAAAUGCCACAGCUCAUUUUUUUUUAUGUCUACAGCAACUUCAUAUUGAAAUGACAAAACUAUUCCUUCUAAGUCCAAAUCGUAUUCGGACUUGAGAAGGUUAAUUUUAGCGUUUUAUGCAAAAAUGGCUAUGAAACUAAAAAAUGAAAGGCUAAAUAAAUAUACUUCUGUUUUUAAUCAUAAUUAUCUUCAUUUCUGUUAAGUUAGAGUUAUCUAUUAUUGGGUUAUAAAACUAAUAACAUUAUAUAUAUACACACACAAAGAUAUUGGGUAUUGAAUUUUUAAGUUUCUCUUAUCAAAUCCUAUCGAGUUACGCGUCGGUAACUUCUAAUGAUUACCAUACCUUAAUGAAUAAACCCAUCGAUCAUAUAAUCGAAUUAACUAUCGGAUCAAAUAGCCGUAGGUAUUGCUUUUAUCGUACUCAUUGUCAUCCCUUCUCUAGUCUGCCCCUCGGACCAAAUACAUAUUCUCCUCAAAUGACAAAGUAUACCUUUCCCCAAGGCCAGCUAACAUGCAAUUAAUGGAUAAAUUUAGGCAUUCAAUUCUUGCUAUAUACAUACACGAAUAUGAUGGAUAGUGGCUGAAUUCACGACCUGUCAUUUUGUAACUAUGCCUAACAGAAACAAGAUGCAAAAAACAAAAAAAAUAUACAAAAAUGAAAAUGGUCACAUCCUGAAUUAAGCAAUGAGAUAUUAUGUUUCUCUUAUGUAAGCCUGCCCAUUGAGCCGUAUACAUCUAUAGACACUCGAAAGUGAUUGUCAUUCGCCUCUCUUAGCAUCAUGUUUGUAUUCAGAGAUACUAAUAUCUUAUUGAUUCCCAUGUUGCAUGCAUUGAUAUUAAGUACAAUUUUUCUUAAAUUGUUAGACACUAUUAUAUAUACUUGUCUUUUCUAUGUAUUAAAGUUUAUUUCGACCCAUCAUGUAUGAUGUAAGCCAAGGAUAUAUAGUUUAAGUAGUAGUUGAUAUGAGAGGGGGCAGUUUGUGACGAGUACAGGACCAGGUCCUAGCUUCUGUAUUUCACCAACAAAUGCUAAUAUUAAAGAGUUGUACUACGAAACAAGGCCUAAAUUUGCUAGUGGAACUUAAAAAGGUAUUACAAGUCUUCUCAUUUUAAUUUAUAUUUGCUAAGCAAGGUGUUGUUUAUGUCACCGACUUAUCUUGGUUUGUUGGGAGAGCCAAUAAAUGCAAGUUGAUGCAUUCUUUUUUUUUUUUUUGUAAAAUCCACGCCAAAAUGACACAUAAAUUUUUUUUUUUCACAUAAAAAAGGCAAUUAAAAGAUUAUAAUUCGUUUUUUCUUGUUUGGUUUACAAGCAACAACGCAUAUAUUAUAUUAUAUAAGGGAUAAGAGGGCAAAUAACCAUCUAUAUUAGAGGAGUGCGUUUAAAACACCCUAUGAAUUUUUUUAACGGUGAGUAGCAGGGAAAUAAAUUUUUAUAUCUUAGAAAUAAAUUUUAAUUCUCUCCAAGUAGCCAAUUUACUUUUAACAAAAAGAUGUUAAUUUCCCCUAUGCUUCUUUAGCCUGCUAAUCAGACCAAGUGCAUCCAUAGAGGAAAAAUUUUGUACUACUUAUCUCUUCAAUCAUAACUUUCUUGGUUAAUUUUCAUGUAGAAUUGAACUCACUUGAUCCAUUAUUUGUACUUUUCAGGAAUAUAGCAAAUCACAAAUUUCAUCAUCCUCUGGAAACAAAUUUUCUGCAAAGUAGUUGUUGGCUUUCAUCUGAUGACGCAAGGUACGUAUUUCUUUAUCGGGACUGGCAUUUGGAGAUAUAUGCGAUCAGAAAUAGAAUUUGAUGGAUGCAUCUAUGCAUUUGAUGGUUGUACUCAUCUGGCUUUGAUAACGAGCUCUAAGAGCUUGAGCUGUUAGACACUUAAUUACACUCAGAAGCAGAAAUUAAAAGUAGAAUAUUUAUUAAUUAGGAUCAAGGUAUUUAUUCUUAUGCCUGAAUAAACACCAUUUCCUAGUUUUAAAUCUUUGUAUCCAAAAAGACAGAUAAAACUGUGUUUUUGCAGAUGGAAAUUAUAUGGACGAAGGUCUUAUUCGAUUAAUUAGCUAUUUCAUGCAUUUUGGUUGUUGGGACUUGAGAUCUUACAACUAAAGUUAUCCCUAAUCAGGUGACCUUAGGCAAUCAAGAACUAAACUUUCAGUCCUCGUAGUAGUUCACCAAAAAUUCAAUUGGGGUUUAUGCCAAUUUGGCCCACAAAAGGAGGUCAAAAUCUCAAUUAGACCCUCCAAACUGAAAAAAGGUUCUAUUUGUUCCCUCAAACUUAAAAAGUGUUCCAUACAAAUUCUAACGUGUAACUACUCAAUAAGGGACCUAAUUGAAUAUUAAAAGAUGUAAAUUCGUACGUUACAAUUUUACUUCUGCAAACUCUUCAAUUUCUUUUUUCAUUGUUUCCCUAUAAAGAAAAAGAACAAGAGAAAAAAAAAGAACAAGAACAACAAUUACGGGUAUGGAAGUUGGCAAUAUGACAUGGUCACUGCCAAUUUAAGUGAUUAUUAUUUUUUUAGCAAAAUGCAUGCUGUAGAUUAAAUUUUCUAGGUACAACAUGAUUUUAGCAACGAUCAAGGUGACAUUUUUGGUGACAUAUUGUGCAAAUCAAAUGGUAGUUACACAAAACUGAAAAAGAAAAAAAUGGUUCCUAUUGUUAUUACUCUAGUGUUAGAAAGAGAUGAAAAAUAAAGCAAUUUAAAUGUUUGAGAAAACAAAAUUAGAAAAGUACACAUUUGUAUCUUUUGGUACGGAAUUAAACCCCUCAUGAUUAACCAAAUGUUAAAAUUUGGAUUGAGUUGGAUGUUUUUUGAAGGGCCAUGCUCAAACUUUUUCAAUUUAAAGUGCCAAAGGACAUUUCUGCAUACUUUGAAGGGCUAAAUUGAUAUUAACCCUUAAUGAUUUGGAGAGGAAGUGGACUGUUAGUUCACCAGUUCAAGGGGAAUAUACACCUCUUGUUGGAUUCGGUUUGCAAUAAUCAGAAAUUUAACCACAGGCUAUGCAAGUUACAAGCCCAAUCCGCGUUCUCCGAGUACAAAUGGGCCCAGGCCAUCAUAUAGACACUUGCCAUGGAGCGGCUUGCUAUAGAGCCUAGCGGGCUUACCGGCUAACUAGUCCAGCUGAAGAACUUCCUCUGCUGGUUCUUUUUUUUGCUUUUUAUUUUUUCCCCACUUCUUGCUUUCUAUUUUUUGGAAUAGCCCCCCUCUUUGCGAGCAUCAUUCACUCUCACAGGUCUCACAAGUUUCAUUUUAAACCGAUUUGAGGGUAGGAUAGCUAUUAGUAAUUGUUUUACACUAUAAUCCCAAUCGUUUAUACUCUACUUAAACUUAUUUACAACUCGGGGACAAAUUGGUUUGAAAUGAAAUUUAUGAAGCUUAUGAUCUGAAUAGAGUCUAAAUUGAGGCCAUUAGAUUCUCAAAAUUUGAGGUAAAACGAGUUAGAAUAAUACUAAAAAUUCACUCAAUGGAAAAGCGUGAAAGACAAUUUGCUUGAUGUUAUUGAAUAUACCUGGCCAAGAUAAGCUUCAAGUAUUUGACCCUUAUGAGUAGGGUGUUAAUUGACUUUGAUAUGAUGUUCAAGCAUUAAAAUUCAACACAAAAGUAGUUGAAAGAUGCAUUUCUUCUGGAGUUGUCCAUGAUCAAAUACAGGUACGUGCUGAUCUUCAACUAGUUCGAAUCCCUCAAGUCUAAUCUAAAAUCAAAGAUUAGUUGUAUGAAUGAUUUAAAAAAAAAAUUAAUUUUCUGGUAAGGUUUGUUACAAAACCUUGACUAUAACAACGCAGAAACCAAUCAAGGAACAUUUCCUUUUCCUAAAUUUUUAACAAGAAAUCCAAACUGUUCCUUGACUAAAAUGGCCUAAAAUUGCCUCGUGCCAUUUUAGUUGGAGAUCAAGUUACGCACGACACAACAACUUAACCAAACACGUCCAUUUUUAAAACUCUGAAAGUCCAUACAUGACACUCAAUUUCUCAGAGAGUUCGAAUACAAUGAUUGAUAAUAGUGACAAUAAUAAUAACCACGGAAAAAAAAAAUACUAUUGUGCUUACCAACUAACGCUUCUCUCUGUCUCUGCAUCAUUGCAUGUAGAUGCAUGCUCCGAAUCCCAGUGUUAGGUGGCAAGAAACUGAGAUUAGAAUAUUUGUAGAAUAUGAAAGAUUCGUUGAAAUGAACAUCUCGAUUGCUAUACCUAUACUUGCAUGUUCAAACAUAUUCUCUCUAGCCUUGCUGGCUUGGCAUGCUUCCUAUCGGUUGGCAAUACAACCGUCAAUUUUUUCAGGAAGGUAUGUUUCUGAAAAUAUACACCAUGCAAAAGAGAAUAUGAUUGAUUAAUAGACUAAAAACUCUUUGUACUUUCAAUCUUUGAUUACUGCAAUUGAAUCCAGGUAAUUAUCAGCCCUGUUCAAAUAUGGUCCUACACUUCUACAUGCCAGCAGUAUAGAUUAAUUUCAAAGAGUCCACCUAUAAAGAGCAACUAUAAAAUACAACAUUUCUAAACGAUAGACACAAAUACGAAAUUUUCUAAAAAUCAAGAAUACGUGUCAUCAUUCUUUAGUUUGUUUCUGUCAUUUCGAUCGUAUAUCAUUUCGUAUAGGAUUUUUAAAUUCGAAGUUAUGAACAUGUUUAGCAACAUUCAAGAAAGUUAAGCAUGCAAAAUAAUAGUAAUUUAACUGUACCAAGGGGGUGAAGAUUCAAAGUAGUAGUAGUUGAGAAUUAAGACAGGGAGGAGGGUAAAUUCCAAAACUUUAAGCAUAAGUCAGCGGAGAGGGACGUUGGGUGGCAAUGUCCUUAAGAAAUAGGUUAGGUAGGAGUUGUAGAGACGCACGGAAAAACAAGAGACUAAAUUAGUUACUACCGAAUAAUUUGAUUUUCCCUUCCUUGAAUUAUGCCAUAUUCCUCCAUUUUCACAACUAUGAGCCGGCUAUAUAUAUAUACAUGUAGAUAAUUGGUUUUCCCUCAUCAAUCCCUGCAUUUGUGCUUCUUCUAAUCCUUGUCCAAAUUCCAAGCACACAGCAAUCAUCAAACCUAAGAAAUGGCCUUAAGGGUUGCAGCCCUUUUCCUCCUGCUUUCAACCCCCGCAGUUUAUGCUGUCCAACAUGUUGUGGGAGGCCCCGGCGGGAGCUGGAGUACUGCCGGAGGUUACAGCACUUGGGCUGCUGGAGAAACCUUUAAUGUUGGUGAUACACUCCGUAAGUUACCUACGCGGCUUUCCAGUCUGAAUAGGUUGCCAGCUAUGCAUGAAUUUUACACUAAUUAGUACCACAAAUUAAAAUUUUUUGCAUGUAGUUGUUGUUUGAUCUGUCUCAGGGUUAGAAUCUUCACUUUUGUAGUUUAUUGUUGUUUUUGUCAUUAACGUUAUUAAUGUACACAUCCAUAAACUCAUGUUGAAAGGUUCUUUAGAGGGACAGGAAUUAGAUGACUUGUUCUUAUGGAGAACUGUCUUGUAAAAUUCAGUUUUUGAGCCCAUAACACAAGGGACCAGUUAUAAGGCAUUUCAACUAAUCUGACAUUUUACUUCAAUUAUCAGUUUUCAACUAUGAUACCUCUCAUGGCGUUAUCGAAGUAAGCAAGGAUGAUUAUGACAACUGCAAUACUGGAAAUGCCCUUCAAUCUUAUACUGGAGGCAAAAGCAGCGUUACUUUAUCCAAACCUGGUUCAAUGUACUUUAUUUGUCCAAUACUGGGGCACUGCGGACAGGGUAUGCAAUUGGCUGUCAAUGUCCAGGGUAGCAGCAGUCCUCCUUCUAGCUCCACCCCCACCACCCCCUCAACUCCUUCUGGUUCAACUGCACCAAGUACUUCACCAACAACAUCUUCACCAAGUGCUAAAAGCUCACCAUCUGGGUCCAAUGGAGCUGUCAGUGGUCUUGACAGCUUAAAUCAUUUGAUGCUCGGACUUUCGCUUGUCUUGGGAGCCCUGUUCGUUCGCGUUUAAGGGCUAGGCAAGAGGCAGUGCUUUUAUCUCUGUUAAUUUAUUGUGAAAUUAUCUCUGUUGAUUUUGUAAUUGUAAUGAUUUAGGCAAUAAAUGACACGGUCAAGAUUGCUUUUCAUGUUCCUUAAUCUUCAUGGUAGUGCGCCAUGUAUGGACCACAUGAGAUUGUUGUAGAUUCUAUUGUUGAUCAGUUCCAUGUCAAUGUCUACAUUUCUUGCCCUUUAGAGCAUAUUUUGAACUUUGACCAAAACGCAGAAACUAUAGAGUCUACAAAUUGUAAAAAGUAAAUUACUGCCAUGAUCAUCUGACAUUAACACCUCAAUUUAUUCAACAUAAAACGAGGAUCGAAUUAUCGUGGAUUCAAAUAUAUACAAGUAUUGCCACCCCCACCAAACUGAAAUUAGAUAGAAUUAAUUACAUGGGGGGUGGAUUAGACCACCGUCUCUUCAUUUCAGAUUUCCACCUGACCUCCUUGAGUUUCCCAUCUGUUCCGUAAUCCCUUUCCAUCACAAGAUUUAUCCCCUCGUCAGAAUACCACCCAACUCCAACACAAAGGAUGCCAUCCUUAUUCACAUCAACAUAGCCUGUGACGCCUCCUGGCAGCCAGAGGAUGGUAACAUCCUGCAUGUCUAGCAUCUCUUCCUCCCCAAAGUAAACUGAAUGUUCAGGCAGGCUUCUCUUCUUUAGGGUUUCUGUGCAGAGGUACACGUAAGGUGCACCAUGGCAUUCCUCUAACAUGAUGUCUUCACCAUAGAUAGGUGUGGCGCUCACCUCAAACACUUUCCAUGAGCCAAUUAAUUCUGAUGGUUGAACUCUUUCCCUCUGAGAAAAUGGCUGCAAGUCUACCUCCAGCUCACUGCCAAUCAGAACUCAAAAAUUACAAGGCAUAAAAAGCACUAUUUCUUAUUCAUAAUAUGGACUCCUUUUGGAAAAAUGUAUAAAGAUCAUAGAAGUGGAAAUGGGCGUCAAAGGGCUUAUGCUAUGAUUACAAAAGAUUCUUUAGUUUGGGGGAAAAAAAGACAAACGGUAAUUAUAGGAACAGAACAACCCAAAAACAAGAAAGCACUUAAAAGAAGUGCAACUAAGAAUUCAAUACAACUGGAAAGAAGUGGAAUAUAAGCUACCUUUCAUCAGGGAUACUAGCAGGACUAUCCCACUGUUCUUCAUAAACAGCAACCCUCAUUAUUUGGAUGUCUGAACCCCCAUUACCAAAUUCUAUUGUAUGAACAAUCCGCAAUCUUUUAUGGGAACCUUUAACCAAACACUACAAGAAAGCAGGGAAAGAGAAAAUACAUCAACAUACUUCUUAGUGGCAGAGUAAUCUAAAAAGAGAAGUUGUGUAUGGAAUUGACUGCUGAAAGUUCCCCAGAAGACAGGAGAUAUAAUGCUAUACUGCAAAAUGAGUUUCAUAAUCCGUUCUCAAAAUAACUAAAAUGAACACCAUUCCUUUUUUUUUUUCAAGGGCACUAAAGCAGAAAGUACAUAAUUCAAACAAGAUGCACACAAAAUUUAGGCAAAAUGAUGAAGCAUAAAUAUAUCAUUCUCUACAAGAUCAAUUAUAUGACCUGCACCGUGAGGCAGCUGUUAUUAUCCCAUCAUAUACUGAAAACCAACAAUCUCACCACCAGCUAAGAGCCUAUCUGACAUUGAAUUACCUGCCAAUUUAAGCCACGUAGAUACCAGAAUCCACUUUAACCUUGCAGGGGCAUUAGCCUACUCUUCAGAGAGAACAUCAAGCAUUUCUAAUGUAGAUAUACAACUGGUGACAACAUGCACAGAAUCGCCACUUCGUGCAAAUAUUACGGAGUUUAGGAGAAGUCUUUCUGGCUGCAAGCCUACACAAUAAACCUAUUUCUUCUUGAAGUCCAUUAACAUCCAAUGCAUCAUUUUCAUCCUUGACGAACAAAAUUCAGGCACUCACAUAAAGCACAGGUAAAAAUCAUCUUUUGUGCACCGAAUUUUCAAUGAAAUCUAAGAAGCUCAUUUACAAAUCCCUGAUUGGAAUUUAUAAAAAUCAUUCUUAGGUAAAAAGAAAGGACCUGUGCUGACCUUCUUUAGCUUUUCUUCGACUAACCAGAAUUAUAACAGAACUUAAAGUAAUCUCUGAUAGAUCUAAACCAACAAAGCAACUGGAAGUCUUCUGCAGGAAAGCUAAUCCCAAACUAGUUAGGAGAAUUAUUUUAUUUCUAUAAAACCAGGAAGCAUUACACAAUAUUUGCUUCAUAAACCAGGAAACAUGCCUCCUCCAUGUGUUAUGGGCUUUGUGGUUCAUUCUAUGAGUUCAGUCAUUUAUUUCUGUUGCCACCCAACCAUUUCAACACUAUCAAUGAGUACCAAAUUUCAGAUUUAACUUAUUCUCUGUUAUGACAAAGGAACCACACUGACAUCUCUUAAUCCUCUGGCAUUAAAAUUGUGGACAUCAAAGGACUUUACUAGUUUUACUGAAGCAUGGAGUUUGGAUAGACUAUUAUUUGAGUAACAGUGAUGAAGCUCAUUAUAGGUAAUAAUUUAACAGAAGUUUGAGCAAGCAAGACAUCCAAAAAGAAUGUUAGACAGCCUUACUUGUUCAAAUUUGUAAGUUGGAGAAAGGAAAUAUUUGGACUCAUCAAAUUCGCCAACCCGGAUGUCAACCGGGCCUCUUGAAUAUGAUCCAUCCUGCCAAUGUACCAUCAUAGAAUUUCGCAGAAAUAUUAGUAAAUCACAGAGUUGUACAGCGAGAACUUAAAUAUUCAACUACAGUUUGAUACACUAUUAGGAAAAGAAAAUGAAGUUUUUGUUUAUUCUCAUGUUAUUAGAGGACUUCAUAAUUCUUUUGCUCUUACAGGGGAAGGAAAUGGAGUGCAGAAAACCAAGGUAUUUGCACCUCAAAGAUAACAAGACCAGGUUCUAUUCCCAUGACAUCUUCUUCCAUAAUGUCACUCCUUCCAAAAUUGAAAGCCUCAAAUUUUGGCAAAUUGUGAGUUGAAAAUCUAUUGGAUGUCUCUUUCCUGGACAAAGAAGCCUGCCCAUUGUCAGACCUCGCAUGACGCAUAUAUUCACCUUCAUUUAACUGUGGAAUUUCACCAUAAGGAUUCAGUGUGACCCAAUUUAUUCGCCUUUUGAUUUGAGUAGUCUGUUCCCCAGAAGCAGAUGGGACUGCUUCCACACGAGACAAAGUAUAACAGUCAAAUAGGUUCUCAUUCUUGUUCCCAAUGUCAAUUGGCUCCAUCUCUGCAGUGAAGGGAGAAAAAACAGCUCCCACUCCCUUCCAUAUCCCACUGAGACUACUUGCAAAUGUAUGCCAUGCUGGGCGAAUCACAGGUUCCUGAAAAAAGAACACCAAUCAAGAUGCAUAUUGCACUACAUUCUAACAAAAUUUCAGUAGUUAGGUCCUUCAGCUACACGUUUUGUCACAUGACUUCAGAACUCCAAUUUCAUAAAUUCCAUUAGGUGAUUUUCUUAUAGUACAUCUUGAACAUCACCUGAAUUCCCAUUUGUUAUGGUGUCAUACUAAAUAUCGCUUCGAACUUGGAUUGUAAUUAGAGAAACAGAGACAACCAAUACUUCCACCUCGUUGUCAUAGCCUGAAAUCCAUUCAUUUGAAAGUUUGGUUCUAGUUUUGUCUCUCAAACUCCAACAGCAAAAUAGACUUUGCCAAUCAAUGUAAAAUUAACAAUGUACUUGGAUUACUCCAUAAAUGAUUAUAGACAAUUGGUAAAAAUGGUGAGGAGAUAAAAAUUUAGAAUCUUUCUUUAGGUCCCACCAUUAGCAAUCUACAUGCACUACAAUACCAUAUGAAAACACGCUCCACUAUAAAUUUAAAGGACCUAGGAUAUAUGACCUUUAAAAUUACCAAAUUAUCAUACACAUUCGUUCACCAUCACAAAGCUCAGAUAACCCCUUUAAACCCUUCAUAAACACAAUGUACAUCAGCCCAUUGUUCAUUUCAAACCAUUCAGCAAACAUUCAGAAAUGUGGAAAAAAAGGAAACCAGGGUCAUUCAAAUCUAAAUGACCUAUUCUAUACCAUCAAUAGAAACCUAGGGAACCCCACCUCACAUAUAUAUCAUAUGGUACUUAUGGAGACACCCUCACAAGCCACAUUCUUGCAUACAUAUCGAUCAAAACAUAUGAAUAUUCCAAUUGUUGUAUCAUCGAUAAAUCUAUUGGUGCACUGCAGGUAAUUCACAGUAAUUGAGAUAUAAUAAAAUACUGCUAGUUUUGUAGAAUAUACCUGAGUUUGUAAAACAGUUUCAACCUCCACUAACAUAGCACCAGAAACCAUAAACCUACUAUUUCUGUUACCCACAUUUCUUUUCCUACCAUCAGCAACCCCUCCUCUUUUCUUCUUCCUGCGCUUCAUUUUUCCCUUUUCUUUCUCUGCUUCUGCCAUUUCGUUAUCCACACUCCAUACAUUCUCCUUCCCCCCCGCCGCCGCCUGCUUCACUAAUAUCAAUCUUCCCCUAUCAUUCAAUUUCCGAUCAUUGCCAUCAAAAUUGCACGACAUUGAGGGGUAAGAAUUGAAUUUACGAGCUGAUGAAAAUGAUGUUGAAGAAGGAGAGGAAGAAGGGUAGAAAGCGUGGUGUUGAUGUGUGAAGCCAGUGAUGGUUUUGCAGGCAUUUAUACAAGGAGAUUGCAUUUCUCAAGGAAUUUAAUCGGAUUGAUUGAAUUGGUUUCUAGGGUUUUAGGAUUUUGGGAAAGUUGAAUUCAAUUUGUUGUGGCGAGACUUCUCUCGAACUGUCAUUGAAGGGAAAAAUUGACAAAAAAAAAAAAAAAAAAAAGGAAUGAAGAAAACGAAAAAAAAAAAAAAAGGGAAAAAUGAGUUUUCUGCAGUCUUCGCUGGUGCAGGUGUGUGAUGGGGACCACAGGUUUAUCUGGAUUCACAAGUAAUACUGGCGUAAUUUGAAAUUUAUUUAUGAUCCAAAAGAGAAAAAAAAAAAAAGAGUAAGAGCCUAUUAUUGUGAAACAAAAUUUUCAAUUUUAAUGUCUUUAGUUAAAUCCAGUUUCUUCCUUUUUUUUUUUUUGAGGAAUAAAUCCAGUUUCUUUACAAUUCAAGUGACAAUAAUAUCUCUUAUGUUUUAUACUUUUCUACAUGAAUUAAAAUACACAAUGAUCACAUAUUUCUCAUUAUCCUACAAUUACAUUAUGGAGUAACCCAAAUGAUCUGCGGGCUGGCUUAAAUAUAUGUUUCUCAAUUCCAUUUUAAAAUAAAAUAUACUACAAUAGUACCCAAAAAAAAUUCUUUUUUUUGGGAUAACAUGAGAAUAACCAAAUAGUAGUAUCUUUUAUUUUAAUUCUACGUAUAUUGCACAAGAACAGAUUUUUGUUUUGUUCAAAUCAGGGAAAAGUGUAGGUAAUAAUUAUUUGUAACACUUUUAACUAUCAGACUCGGGAUUCAAAUCCUGAACCUUCAACUUAGAAGUAGAAAGAUAGACAUGUCUUUAACUACGAAAACAGAAACUCGAGAAAAUGUUGCAAAAACCAUGAAAAAUUGCACCAAUCAUGCCAUUGCCAUCAUGCGAACUUGCAUUUGCAUCAUGCAAUAGCCAAUAAAUGGUCCAUCGCAAGUCAAGUUUCAAUUGAAAAUCGUAAAAGUACAAGCCAUGAAAACUGUCCUCUCCAUGCCAUUGCCAUCACAAGGUGUUAAGAAUGCCAACACCAUCUCGAUACAUCUCAAAAUCGACAGUCUACUUCAUCAACCAAACACAUUUCACGUAGACUUGAUAAAAUUAUUUUACUUUCUUAAUAGAACAUACCUGAAUACAUUGCUGCCUAUCUAUAUCUAGAUAUAAAUUAACCAGGUUACAGCCACUGUCUCUAGCCCAGAAAGGAUGAUUGCAAGUUAAAACCGCUAAUGCUAUUAGGAGGAGGCAUGAGAAAGGUAAAAGAGAAUGGCGGCCAUCAACACCGGGAAGACGAGAAAGACAACGGACGGAGGCGGUUGUGGCGGACCGGGAGCCAUCAUCAACGGCACAAACACCAGGCACAUCACCACCAGCAGCAUAAUCACGACGGAGCCCAUCCCCCAACCAUGCCGCUGCUCCACUGCUCUCCCCAUAUUGGUUGCCGACUAGCUGCUGCUAAUUAAUCAGAUGGAUGUUAAUGUAUGAAAUGGUUGAUUGGUACCCUGUGAUUAUUUAUGUAGUUGGUGCCUCUUCCUGGAGAGGACACAACGGUUGGUUUCAGUAUUGGCCACUUUCGGCGGGCUAGGGGUGCAAGAAUUUGCAGGCUGUUGAUGCUAAUUACUGCUUAAAAUUACAAGGUUUCAGUUAAUAUAAUCAGACGCAUCCCUAAUCUCAAACUUUUCCCUCCUUACUAUUUAAUUAUGUCUUCUAAGAAAAUGUUAAUGCCGUAAAUUAGCGACACGACCACAUUGUGCCUAUGUACGUGUCUGCAUUAAUCAUGAGAAGAAUAUAUAUAUAUAUCACCAAAAAAGAUUUUCAGAUUUUUUUUCUUUUUUAAAAUAUUUUAUAAUCCCAUUAGAUAAUCAUUUUCAGAAUUUAUAUCCAGUAGCUGGUUGAAAUGUAUUCAAUAAUGAUAAUGGCCUAUAAGUUAAAUGAUUGAAGUUGUUACAAAUGUAAGGUUUAAAAACAUUUUAUUUCGCUAUGAAAAUCAAAUGAUAUAAAUUUUAACUUGAGUAUAUGAUAUUCAAAAGGAACUAGGCUGCUAAAUACAAAUGGGUAUGGUGAGUCGAGCAACCCUCUCAUGAACAAUCUGAAUGGAUGAAGUUGAACAAGAAAACCUAAAGAAACGACAUGGCCCGAUCCUAGAAACAGUCAGGCAUUCGGGCAUAACAUAUACACCCUCUGUUCUAUUUUGAUAGUUCUCGUUUUUUUUCACACAGUUUAAGAAAAAGUAAUUAAUUUUGUAGGAAAAACAAAUUUAGAUUGCUAUUUUUCUAAAAUACUCUUACAUUAAAUAAAGUUGGCUUUUCAUAUAUCAACAUGUUUUGAAAAAUCUAAAUGCAUUAAAUGGGGUAGGUUAUAUUCAAUAUUAACAAUCUAUAUUAAAUAAGGUAGUUUAUAGUAAUAACAACUUACAUUGAAUAAGGGUAUUUUAGAGAAAUUAAAAGACACCUACAUUCUUCAAUUGGAAGAUGGAUUACAAUUUGGGACAGACGAAAAGGAAAACAUGACUAUUAAAAUGGGACGGAGGGAGUAUGAGAAAUACACAAAAAGCACUACAAAUUUGUUUAUCGUAUCCAAAGGUGCAUCAACAGUUCAAAGAAAGGACAAUUUGUUUGCAAACUUAUCAGCAAUUUUACCAUGCUUGUGAUUCGUGUUUACAGCUUCUUCGAGUGGUGCUAAACAAUUCUUGGAAAAAUUGAUUCAAAUGCUAAAAACUGGUGCUAUCUGAGCUCUCCAAAACCACACUAUAGAGCCAUGGCAGUAGAACAAAAGUCAAGGUACACCGUGAUGCACCCCUUCACCAUCAUAUAUGGCUGAAUAACCUCGUCACGUGCAACAAAUGGUAGUACCUAGAUUAAUUAUACAGCUAGUUUGUUAGAUUUGGUUGACAGUAAUAGAAGUAAAAAAAAAAAAAAGAAGAAGACAUGCUCACCAGCAGCAAGACAACAGGUAAAUAAUGGAAAGAAAAUCGGUGUAAAAGCUGAAAGGAUGUGGUGAAUGGUUGCCAUCCUUACAGUUACGGACAACCAUGUCCUGGCUAUAUGCCGCUACGUACAAAGUCAGCCGCAGAAUGCAGAUACCAAGACUGAAACAGAUUCAGGAGCUCAUAUAUACUUCACUAUAUUGUUUCAUGUUAAGUGGAAAAUUUUAUAUUGGUUCGGAGUAGUUGCUCUAAAACCAAUGCAAGAGUUCUACGUGAAUAUGUAAGGGUUUCACAUAGUUCCAUUUAACGUAUCAAAUAGAUUCCACUUAGCAUAUGAACUUGCAAGUGAGAUAUUUAUACACAUAUCAUGUGGAACUUUCUCAUUGAUUCUGAACCAACUACCAUGCAUGUGUCAAGUAAUUGCUACGGAUCGACAUAAAAAAUCUCUCCGAAUUAAGUAUUGAGAUUUUCUAAGUAGUGAUUAAUGCAUGACAUCAUGUCAUAUCUACUGGUAAUUAGAACUUUAAAAUGUCUUGCAUUAAAAAAAAUUUCUAAGACAAUAUGUUGCUUUUCCAAAUUUUUCAUUGUUUGGAUAUGUCACAAGGAAAACAAAAUUUCCACUCUUUGGAUAUCUCACAAGGAAAACGACUCAGACCUUUCCGUCAAUCAUAGUAUAUGUCUGUCUUGCUGCAAUUGAUUCUAGUAAUGGUCAAUCAUAGUAAACACUAUGUCAUUCUUAGCAGACCUAUUGUAGGAAUGUAGGGGCAUCUGCAGCAUAUUGAUGUCGUAUGCAGUAGCAUUCUGCCAAGAAUAAUUGGACGGCUCACAGUCAUCCAGUUAUAAUUAAUUUUCCUCGACUUUUUCUGCUGCUCUUUGUCAUUCGGUUCUCAUCUUGGUGAGCAUUUGUAGUUUUUCAGUAACUUCACUCAUUAACGGAAAUAGCAAACGUCUUGUGGCGUUAUAUGUUGCAGCUGAGGAGCUUAUUCCAUUGUAGGCCUGUCAAUCGGCCUAAUGAGUCGGGUUUUGAUGAGUUCAAACUCAACUCAUUUAAUUUGAUACAUUGUCGGGUUUCGGGCUAUGAGUUUCGGGUUCAUAAAUGUGAAACUCAUACUCAACUCACAUAAUAUUCGGGUUGUGAGUCUUAAUCGGGCUUAGCCCAAGCUCACUUAUUACUCCUUAAUUUUCUUAAUAUAAUUACUAUAACUAUUAAGUUGUAAAACUAAUUUAACAUUUACAAGACUAUUAUAUUAAAACUAAACAUGAACAAAUAAUAGUUCUUAACAAGUAUAUAAACCAAAAUUUUUUUCAAUAAUAUUUAUAUUUAAUUCGUUCAAAAUGCAUGAAAAAUAGUAAUAAAACAUGUGAUCAUAAGCCAAUAUAUCUUUAAAAGUUGAAACUUUUUUUAUAAUCUUGUGAUUUAAAUCCAAAUAUGCUUGAUGAUUUUUGUGUUUGUAGACCAAAAAGAAAUCAACCAAUAUUAUGCUAAUAUAAAAAUUUACUCAACCAAUAAGAAAAGUUAGAGAUUUAGUUAUGCAUUACUAAUAUUGGCUCUCAAGAAAGCUCAUGAAAGAGUCUUUAGAUGUAUUUUUGUGUUUUAUAAUUUAUAUAUAUAUAUUUAGUAUUUAGUAAUAAUAUAUUUGGAUAUAUAAUUAUACAUAAUAUCAAAAUAUAAAUAUUAUAUAUAUAUAUAGGUAAUUAAAGGGUCGGGCCUAUAUCGGGUUUGAGCUUAAUAAGGCCCAAACUCGACUCAUAUUUAAUUCGGGCCUACUUUUUAGGCUCAAGUUCAGACCAGCUCACUAAAUGAUCGGGCCUAUCGGAAUUUCUGUCGGGCCGAAUGAGCCGAGCUCGGGCUGGCCCAGCCCCAUUGACAGUCCUAUUCCAUUGUGGUGACAGGAUGCGCCUCCUCUCAUAGAAGAAAUUUGAAGUCUUUCAUAAAAAUAGCCUUGAGGAACUCGACAAGUUGAAGCCAUUGAUUCUUCAUGAAACAAUUCUGUCCACAUUCAUUCUUGAAGCGCUUAUAACUGUCGAUAUCACUUGACAUGCUUCAUGCAAAUGCUAAUAGCUUGCAUGCAACACUGUUAACAUAUUUGUUGUUAGGCGUGUAAACAAGGUUAAUCAAAUGGAACACGCAAGUGUUCAAAUUUGUUUAAUUAUUUUAACGAGUUCGAAAUUUUGUUCAAAUUUAAUUUGUUUAUUUUUCGAAUUGAGAUUAUACGAGAUUUCUAUCGAAUUUGAAUAUUAUUGAACAUCAAAACGCUGUUCAAAUUUAACUUAAAUAAUUAGCAAGUAGUUUGGUUCGUUCGUUCUUAUUUGUUGUGAAACGUGGAUCUUUUCCUGUUCACUAGUUUUUUGGUGCAGAAAAGAAUUGCCGCUUUUAUUUUCUUCUCCUGUAGCUCCUAUAGACUUUAUUCAAGCUCGGCCCAAAUUAUUGACUGCAUGAUUGAUAUUUCAAUCCAAGCCCAAAAUGGGAAGGUGGAGAGCUCCCUCGAAAGCCCAGCCAGUAGAAUUGAUGGGGUACUUUUUCAUUUGAGCAAAAAGGGGCAAAAAAAAAAAAACUAACAAUUCUAUAAAUUCAAUCACUUGUAGCAUAAACGAUCUUUGUAUCAAUUUUAUGGAUUUUCCUAACAAGGUAUACAACACAAGUAUACAAUCAUCCUAAUAAGAGCAUGUUGCGUAGAUGACAAUAUGUAAGUGGUUCAUUAACAUGUUAGCUUCGCUCCAAGCGCAUAGAGGUACGGUCAGUAGCUUCGCGCAAGCACGUAGAUUGAUAUGUUGCAUGCAUUUUUUCUUUUAAAACGUCUUUCACACGUUGAAAAUUUAGAUUGGAAUUAAAUUUUAAAAACUUGAUUUUAUAAAGAACAUAAAGUUAGUAUUUUAAGCGCUUGAUUUUGCGAGGACACUGAUUCCAGGCAGUGGAAAAGAAAAGGAAAUGAGGAAAAGAGGUGAAGUUGAUUGGUCCAGAAACCUAUCUUGGAAUUUCUGAUAAGCUUCCAAAAGGUGUUUGGCAUAGAUUCCCAUGCCAAACCUUUUUUUCUAAAUUUUAAUAAUUAUCAGCCAACGAUUUUGUAAUCUAGAAAAGUGAGACACCUUUUCUUUGAUCCACGGUAGAAGAAUCCCCUUUAAGGCUCAAGUCUCCGUUAAAGUUGCAUAAGAAUCGAAAGAGUCCACGACAUCCAUUAAUGCCCAAAAUCCUCAGAAGUAGGGCCUUAUAGGUCGCUCGGUCGUCGUCUUCUGCCUUGUCAGCUUGAUUGUUGAUACCCGGAUUAUAGGCGACAUCUGUUAACAGGAAUUGACAUGAAUUUCACUCAUUUCUCUCCGCCCGGCAACAAUUUCUUUAUUUUUAAUGAUCGGGGCCCAUAUUUCUUUUUAGGCUUCAAAAGUUGCCUAAACUAAUGGUUGGAGUUAGAAAAAAAUCUUAGUAGGGGCAAAAAUAAUAAUAAAAUUUUUUAUCUAUUCUUUUUCUAGUUUUUUAAGCAAAAAAAUAAAUAAAUUCACCAACAAGUACAAAUGAUACGUAUAUUCCAUGAAAAAUAUAAAAAGACAAACUUAAAAUUAUUAAUGUAAUAAUAAUUUUAUUUCAAAAAUAAACUAAACUAUUUACAAUUGCUCACGACGAGUUUUCGUAUUUUGAUAAUGGUUUAUAACUUUCUCAUUUUGAAUUUCACGAAGUAUAUUUUUCUCAAUAUAAAUAACUAAACUAAAUUUUGUGACCAAUUCUUUCACAUCUUUUCUAAAAAAACUAUAGGGGCACACUUAAAAUUAUGUCAAAAUUGUACAAGUAUCAUAGAAAUUUAAGGGCAGUGGGGGCUCGUGCCCCCACCUUAAAUCUGCCCCUGGUUUGGGAGUUUAUGAAAGAAAAAAAGAAGAAAAGAAUAGAAACCUUAAGUUAGAAAAGAAAAGAGUAGAAUAGAAAGGAUUUUAAUAUCUUUCUGUGUUAUUUGAGAGUUUUGGAGGAAAAAGAGAAUGAAGUAAUUUUCCUUUGUCUGGAAGUGGACAAGAGUGAAAAGAAAAUAUUGUGUUAUACAUAAAGGAAGGGAAAUUAGAUUCGAUUGCAACGAGUUUUGAAUCAAAUGGCGAUUGUUUAACAAGUGCCAAGUUGUAACCAAAAUACACAUGUAUUACUCUUACACAGAUUUACGGGGUUACAAUGAUUCAUCUAAAUGGAAGAUAUGUUGGAACGCGUCUUUAUUUGUAAUUGAUUUUUCAGAUCUUUAUUUGGAUUUCUGCCAUUGGUACAGAUUUAUUGAAUGAAAUGAUUUCUUCUAUUAAAAAAAAUCUUUUCUUACACUGUCAAUAUAACAUUUUUUUAUAAAUAUAUAAGUAAUAUUGGGUGCAUGGUAUAUAUAUAAAAAUAAAUUUUGAAAAUUAAAUGAAUUUUAUUUAUCCUACAUCUGCCCCUAUUAAUAUAAAAACUUUUGCAUAGAUGGUAUAGGAAGGGAUAAUCCAAUUUGUUAUAGUUCCUUUACGAAUUUUUCUAGCUAAGGUUUUGAUUUCGUGCAAAGGGAAAGAGAGAAUUUUGUUAUCAAGUGGUUUGGAGACUAGUAUCUAGCAUGAAUGAUAAUUUUGAAGUUUAAAAAAAAGAAAAAAAAGAAAAAGGGAUCGUUGUAGCUAGUUUUGUUUUUAAACGAAUUUACAAAAGAUUAUGGAGUUUAGAGGAUUUGAGAUUGGAUAGCUAAUUCCUAUACUAGAUCAAUGGAACCUUAAUUUAGCUAAUUCUAGUUCAUAGAAGACUGUGAAUCCGGUUCAUUUUCUCCGCUGUUCUUGUACGUGGUCAAAUAGUUUGACAGAUAUGUGGUGGACUUGGACAUCUAAAUUAGGUCAUUGGUAUUAAAACUCAUCUCUUCUUACAAAAUUCUAGUGCUUUGUGUUGGACAUUCUUCAUCUGACUCAAAACUAACUACUAGAAAAGAAAACUGAGAAUUUUUUAAGGAAUGAAUUGAUGAUCUCCACUUCACCACGUUAAAUGUUGGCCACCAGGUGCAUUUCUCACUGUCCAAAGCAACAGAAUAUAUAUAGAAUGGAAAAUCCCAAGACCUCAAUUGUUGGUAGUAGGUGCAAGCAAACAUGAGGGGCACAUCUAAUUAAUCUCAUCAGUUUGACUGAAUCUAAAUACCUAAUCCAGAUUCAAAAGCUUAUAUAUGUUUUUCUUAAACUGUGUCGUAUUUUGCCAGUUAGAUAUAAAUGGUUGUACUUGUACCCAAAAACUAGCCUACUUUCCCCCAAAAGCCUGGAUACUCUUGGAUGCUCAUAAGCUGCUCUAUAACCAAAUAGAGCAUAUUUCCAAUACACCUUUUUAUUUUCUCAAUAUCUGCUCUAGUGGUUUGUUUGGAUUGCUUCAUAUUUCCCCAAUUUUAUUUACUUACAUCAUCUUUACAAUUUCCAAUACACCUUUUUAUCUUCCCAAUAUCUUUUUAUCUCACAUACAUCACAUCACAAAAAGUGCUACAGUAAAAAUAUCCCAAAUAAUCCCAAAUAACUUACAAUCCAAACAGUAGCGAAAAAGUUUUUUUUUUUUUAAUUUGGGUUUGAAAUAUCACGUCCUUUAAUUCAGCUAUGUCGAUCUUUUUUUUAAAAAAAUUUAUUCAUGAGAUAUUUCAAAUAUUACAAAUGGAAAGAAAAGGGGGGGGGGGAAAGAAAAGGUUUCGGAGUUAACUAAAAACUUAUCAUUAAUAUGAUCUUGUAAGCUAAAUUAGGGGGUUUUGGAAUUGUAACCCGAUUCAUAAAUUUGCGAAUGUAUUUGAAGAAUUGUAGUACUUGGAAUUCUUAAUACUUUGAGGUGUCACUAUUUGAUGUGACUCUCCCAUGAGACGUUUUAUCUUUAAGAGUGUCGGCACUCGAUUGAUUAGCUAAUGUGCAUGAAUAGAGAGAAUGUGAAGAAAUGUUUACUAAGAGCGUUCAAUUCAAGUACUUAGGCCAGAAAUUAAAAGUUUUGAGUUUUAAUUCUCCUACCUUUUUCCAAAAUUUUAAAUCUCACUCUUAGCUUGCUAGGGAUCAUACUAGGAUCCAAGAAUCCACGAAGUGCUUUGUUUAAUUCAUCAGACUCGAUUACUACGACGAGAUCUGUAGCCAAUUAAUUAUUAUGUAAUCCCCCUAAUUUUGGUUUAUACCACCCUAUAGGAAGAAUAUAUUUCUGGUGAGAUCUCAUGAUAUAUAUAUAUAUGGAAAUUAGAUGUACCCAAUUGUUUGGUCUCUUCAAGGAAAACUGGAAAAGUAGUGAUGUGAUGCCUAUUGUUAAAUCUUUUUGGAAAGUUGAUGCAAACUGUUGAUCCAAAAGAAGUACUAGAAAAAUAGGCUGCUUUAAAGUUAGUUUGGUAAAACUAAAAGUGGAUAUAACGGUCAUGCUGGAUUUUUUACGAUUGAAACUACACAAUACAUUAUCGCUGUCUAUUACAUAGUCUUUUUUUUGUCGGACUAAGUAUUAAUAGAUCAAAAAAAAAAAAGAUUUAGAAUCAUAAUGGUUUAAGGAAAAAAGUAACAUCGUGCGGGGUUAACACUUAACACCUAUUUUCUUAGACGCUAAAAAAUCUUAAUAUUUGUCUAAGAUAAAUCUUAGGCCCCAUUCGGAGUGUCGGCCAGCGGUGGAUUGAGGUGGGGGAGGAAGAAAAGAAGAAAAAGAAAGAAAAAAAUUGUGUGUAUUUUUAAAAUUUGGAGUGUGUAUAUUAAAAAUUUUGGAGUGUUUUUAGAAGGUUAUUGUAAACACAAUUAUAUUUUAAAAAAAAAAAAAACUUACCUAUCAAAAACAUGGCAAAAAACUUGGGCGCCAAACAAGACCUUGUACUUAAAGAAAAGUAAGAUUUAGAUCUUGUUUGAUAAUCUAAUUUAAUAUUUAAACUUAAUUGAUUCAUAUCUUAACUGUUUAAACGUUUGAUAACCAAAAAUUGAAUAUCUGAAUUCAUAAAUGACACUAAAUUUUCUCUAAAUAAGCGAUAAGUUAUUUAUUUAUCAUUUAAUGUGAUAUACACUCAAAUAUAUUAGAUUUAGUACUUAAUAAUUCAAUAAUUUAAUAGAAUCAGAUUUUAGAUUUUAAAUUUCAAUUUUCAAAUUUCAAUUUAUCAAACGUACCCUUAAAGUUUAAAUGGCACAAGUUGUUCGCCUCUUGUACUUGAAACUCUUAAGGAAUAUUUUUAACACAUUAGUACAAUCUCUCAUGAACAACUCCAAGACAUAUUACAUGCAUUGGCAAUUUUUUUUUCACCUGUGAUUUAUACCGUGUAACAGUCUACAAAAGCCUACAUGAAAAUACAAUAAUGCUUUUCUGACCCUUUGUGGUUGUGGAUUCAAAGCAUUCGAUGUGUUUUUACAAGGACUUUCCUGUUAAUUAUUUCAGUCUAUAUGCAAAAUGCCUUACCAAGCGGCCCUGCAUUGCAAGGUGCUCUGCACUUGUUUUCUAAGUGAAAUCUUAUUUUGGAUAUGAGAUAACAAUUAUAUUUCUCAAAAAUAAUUAUUAAUUCUAUCGUACAGUUGUCAUGUACUGAUAUUAAAAGUAAGACCAAAUAAAUAGGAUCAAACUGUUUUGCCCCUGAAAAAAAAAUGAUCAUUUGUUGGUCAAGUGAUGAAUUCAAGAUAAAAAAAAUUGUCAAAAAUUUAGGUUGAAAUCAAAUUUUAUUAACUUGAUUUUGUAAGAGACGUAAAAUUAUUAUACAUAUAUGAUGUUGAUUUGUUUCUCGAAUUAUUUUGAAACUUUGUCCCUUUUCAAUUGUAAACGUUUCUAUAUAGGUAAAUAUACACAAUAAAAGAUGUUUGCCUAUUUUGAUAAACAAAAUCAUGAACAAAAAAUUUCAAAGGCUGGAGGACCUAUUGAUCAAUACCCGACAAUACUAUACCAAAAUUGAAGAUAGUAUAUGGGAACAGUAAAUAGGAGGAGAAGAAAAGGGGAUUUUGGUUUUUCCAUUUUCUUCCCCUUUUUAUUAAAUGUGGUAUACUGGUGGGGGCCAAAGUGUUGGUCAGCUGCAGAGGCCCUUGAUUUCAACGCAAUGAUAUUGACACUUUUAAGAGCCUCCAAGAACCUUGUAGCUCCGUAGCUUUCGCCACAGAUACUGCCGUCUUCCUUCACAGUUGCCAAUGUGCCACGAGUGCCGGACUCCCAAUUCGCUAUACAAAUUCUAAUUUUUAAAAUAAAAGGUUAGUAUUUCAAUACUUUGAGAUAGGGAAAAGAAAUAAAAAUGGCCAAAUUAAUGAAUUAUGGCUCUUCAUUUGAAGAACCUUUAGGCUUAGUUUGGGAGUUUAGGAUAGAAAAGAAAAGAACGGAAAGCUUAAGUUAUGAAAGAAGAGAAGAGAAGGGAAGAGAUUGUUAUGUUGUUUGGGAGUUUUGAGAAUUAGUGGAAUGAUUUUGGACAUAGAAGUCAUUAAAUAUUUGUUCAAAACCUUUUUAAGAACAAAAUAGGCGUUUUAUAAAAAAUAUCAAGCUUUCUCCAAACUUUCUUCCCAUUUCUUUCCGAUUUGGGAGGAAGCAUUUUCAUAACUAUUCAUCCUUCCAUUUCUUUUCUUUUCUUUCCUAUUUAAAACUAACAAAUGAAGCAAAAGUAAACUUUCUCUUCUUUCCCUUUCUUUUCUAUCCAAAUCUUCCACUCCCAAACGAAUCCUUAGGCUAGAUAGCGCUUAUCAUAGAAGUUGAUCGUUUAUAACGUAGUGUGCUACUUAACAAUGCAUUAGAUGCUCUAGAAAGCACAAGUUGACGUUUUGCAACCCCCCUAUUCCCUGGGGGGAAAAUAAAUUAAGGAUCUGGAAUGCUGGUAUUAAUCUUCUUUCUCUUUUUUGAUUUUUUGAUGGGAAAAUGUGUUUGGAUAGGAGAUUAUUUGCAAUAAUUACUGUAACACUUUUUGUGAUAUGUGUAUGUGAGAUAAAAAAAUAAUUGGGAAGAUAAAAAGAUGUGUUGGAAAUUGUAUUUGUGAUGUAAGCAAAUAAAUUUUGAUCAUUAUUUGGCUAUCCAAACACACUCACUGUACUAUCUUACUUAAUAAUGGCACUAUUUUUUACCACAUAAAUGAGAUAAAAGACAACUAUUUGCCUGAACUUUAAACUAUUUCCUUAGCACUCUUUUGAUCUCUCAAUAAUGUAUUAUUGCAAAUAAGCCAUGAACAAAAAAGUAUUACAUUUAAGGAUUUUGAUCAAAUCGCCGGAAGGGUUGAAAGUAUACAAAUUCAAUGGUUCGGCAUCUAUUCUGAGCUUUAAUUUAAAUUAGUGGUCAAAACUUGAUAAUAAAAAUAGUUUAAAGAAAACCUAUAUACUUUACUAUUAAGAAAUUAUUGUAUUUGAUCAAUUUUACAUCUCGUUCUGUUAGCACUAACGGCUAAAUUUGAUGAAAAUAUUUAAACGUGACUUUUUUUUGGUUGAGGGGUUUGCUUGGAACAAUAUAUUAUUGAGGGACUAAAAGAGAGCAAUGGAAAUAGUCUAAGGGCAGGACGGAUAGUUUCCUCAUAAGAUAAAGGUACCACUGUUAUCUUCCAUAGAAUUUACAAUUAUAAUUUUUUAUUAUAAACUUGUAAUUAAAAUAAAUAAUAGGGACAUGUUCGUCCUUUUAUACGAGUUAAAAAAAAAGUAAAAAAUAAAACCAUUAAUAACUAAGGAAGUACGAUUAACAUUUCACUUCCUGACGAGCACUAAAUGAGUAAUCCUCAAAUUUGAUUUGACUAGCAGCAUAUUACUCCAUAGUUGCAUAUGGUCGUCGUCUAGCUAGCUGCAUUACGUUACAGUAUACCCCAUAUUGGACAACAAAAUGCUAUGCACAUGAAAGUCGUAAAACACACAGAAUUUCAUUGUUCUGGGUGCUUUAUUAUAUAGUACUAGUUAUAUUUGGGGAAAGGGAUGUAUCGGACCUUCUUUCAUGCUAUUAACUUCUCUCUUUCUCCAUAAAGAAAGCCCCUUUAAAAGGCAUGUAGGAAUACUUCAUAUUCAUGCAGAUGCAUGUUGCAGUGGGAAGAGUUUCCUCGUAAGCAAAGCAAACCCCAGCCCUGUUAAGUGUUAUGAUCAUGAACCAUUAAUAGGAGUAGAAUUUAGUAAGUUUGGAGAGCGAGCCAUGCGCGUAGGCCAUGACAAUUAUGAGUAUAAAGGUGUGUUCCUCAAUGCUCAUCAUUCAUGUAACCACAAGCAAAGUACAAAAUCGAUGUUUGUUGAAUGGGGUCAGGACUUAAAUGAACUCUUACCAUCAUGCCAUGGUCCACGUUUGCCAACAUCCCAUGUGACCCAUUUUUUGCCCAUCUUUUCCAAGAGGGGUUUGAUGUCCUCGCGAUUGACUAAUGCCUGCUUAUUUAUGCUUUCUGAUUUCUCAUCAGAAAAGCUUUGGCAGUUCAUCUUGAGAGAGCAAUGCAUUAUUUAGGUUUCAGUCGCUUUUUUCACUUGAUCUGACGGCAAAGCUAGGACGUUCUAAUGUUGAAAUUCAGGCUUGAUACAAGUCAUUUCAUUUCAUGGUUGUAACCGGUUCACUUUCCCCCUAUUAUUGCCUUUAGUCUUUAACCAAGCUUCUUGAUCUCUUGUAAUACUAAAGUAAUAGCAAUAUGUUUUGGAGAAUGGUGAUCAGUGGCUAAUGAUUCAGCGCAUAGUCCUCCAUUUGAGGAUUAUGACCCAAAAGAAAGGGGGAAAAAAAAGAGGAGUACCUGAGAGGAUAAUCUAUUUUUUUGGCUUGGACCUUGGUGUCAUGCACCUAGAUUUUUUCGUUUUGUUUUUUUUUUCAUGCUUUCAUGCACCUAGAUUUGGUUUCCGAGAACAUCUAGAUUCAAAACAUAGACCAAUAAUGCAACCUAUAUGUUGGUGACCUUCGCGAUCACAUUGCUUUCGCUCGCUACUUGUAGUCUUACUAUUGGGGAUUGUCUUUAUAUUACAAGAAAACUCCUUCCGUUUUAUUUAUAUUACAAGAAAACUCCUUCCAUUUUAUUGAAAGUAUAAUACUUUUCAUUUUGGUAUGUCUUAAAAUGUUGUCGUCCUAUCAAAGUCAAUGUUAUUUGAUCUUUUUUUUUAAUAUUAUCUCUACCUUUAUCUAUAUUUUAUAAUAAAUUCAAAUUUUUGAAGGUAAUUUUGAAAAUUACUAAUAUUACCAUCAAAUCACUAUUUUUAAAAAGUUAGAAUCCCGAAAUGCAACAAAGAAUUUAGAAUGGAGGGAGUGUUAUUUACUAACAUCACGUAGAUUUUCUAUCAUAAUACAAGAUAUGAUAAAAACAGGGCUUGUGCUUAAUACGAAUACGAAUUGACACAAGCCACACUAUACCCUUAAUAUUGUGAUAAUCCAAGCACAAAACUAAGGAUGUGUUUGAUAAAAUUGAAAUCUGAAAUCUGAAUAUAUUAAAUUAUUGAACUGUUAAGUACUAAAUUUGACACAUUUGAUUAUAUAUCGCAUUAAGUGAUAAGUAAACAGCUUAUCACUUAUUUUUUUUAGAGCAAAUUUUGUCUAGAAAAUUCAGUACCAUUUAAUUAAUGCAAAUGUUCAAUUUCAGUUAUUAAACGCAUCGGAGCAUAUUAAAAUUUGAAUUCAUUAAGUUUAAGUGUUAAGUGAGAUUAUCAAACAAGCCUUAGCUAGUAAAUUGAAAGAUGGAUUCCUAGGGCUUGCGCUAGCAGAUAGGAUUGAAAUGUGGUUCAAAUUUUGAUUCCUUUUUUUUUUCCUUUAAACUGAGCAAUGUCCGAUUCUUGUUGAUUAUAAAUCUUAUACUUUUGUAAUAUUGGUUAUUGUCUACCUGUGCAUUUGCCUAAGUUAAGAGUCGACUAAUUCACCCCAAGCUUGGUUAAUAUAAUUUGAGGAAUCUCGAAUUUGACAAAGGAAGGAGGGUAUAAUAGGCUUGCCUUCCCACAUUAUCGAUGAUGAAAGAAAUUUGAAACAAGAACUAGAAUUAACCAAUUCAAGAUUAUUUAUUUUUUGAACUUUUCCUUAAUGAUGUCUAAUAAAACAGAUAAAUGAUAUAAAAACUAUUUUUUGGCCCAGUAAAAUGGGAAAUGGGCAAUUAGUGCAGCUCUUGCUAAAAUUCCUGCUGAAGUGUACUUGAACUACAGUCCUCGUUACUAUACCAUUGCUUUGUGCGUGCUAUUUCGGGCACAAGGAGAAAACUUCAUUGGACGAGUCUUUGUCAACUAAAUUACCAUCUUAGUAACACUAUCAUACGUGUCCAUUGGUAUACCUGCAUAGAGGAAAAGUACAACUCGCACAUUUUGUGGACUAUAAAUUUCAUGGUACGCGCACUCAAAUUCUUACAAAUUCGAUUUUAUUACUAUGUCUAUUUGUUUCAAGAUCACUCUUUCAUGACUAUAUAGAAAACGAGCUAAAGUAAGGCUCUGUUUGGAUUUUUUAUUUUUUGAAAAAUAAGUUUUUCAUAUAUAAUAUCACAGUAAUAUACAAACAAAAAUAAUUCAAAAAUACCACAUCCAUACAAUAUAUCAAUAAUAACUCCAAAUAUAUAAACAAAAAAAAUUAAAAAAUGAAAUCUACAUCAUCUUCUUCUUUUACCCACCACUGCCACCCUUAUCCACCGCCACCAUCCCAUCCUUACUCUCCUCCUCCCUUCGCCUUCCCCUUUCCCUUUCGCGCCACACCCCACCUCUUCCCUUCCUCCCCAAUUGGUCUCGACCAGAUUGGAGAGGGGAGGGGGCGGGGUGUGGCUAGAAAGGGGAGGAGAGAAGAAAUUGAGGAGAAGGAAAAGGGAGGGAGGAGGAAAGAAAGAGAGGAUGGUGAUGGUGGUGGGUAGUAGCAGUGGGUGGUAGUGUUAAUUUUUAAAAAAUACAUAUUUUAAAAAUUUUUAAAAGUUUAAAAAUACCCUAAAAUAUAUCCUAAUAACAUCAACAUUAAAAGUUUUUCACAUAUAUUAUUAUAGUAAAAUAUUUCAAAAAUACUUCCAAAAAUAGCUAAUCCAAAUAGAGCCAUAUGAAAAAAAAUUAUAGAAUUAGAGGUUUUGACGUAUUUUAGUAAAGUUUAUGGGACGUAACUAGAAUAUACUCAAAGAUAUGAGAUAGAAGGAUUAGAGGAAGGAGCAUGUGAGAAGCCACACAAAGAAAGCUACUUUUUUAAGUUCCUCCCGCUUUUGAGCUCUUUUUCCUUUUGGUAGUUUGGCUUUGGCACACGCUUUAUACUUUUCGGGCCAACGGAUCAGAUCCACUCACUAGCUACUCGUCCUAGAGUCUUAGCAAAUUAACAACUAGUUAACUACUAAUUACUAGUAUAUUAUUAAUAUUGCUAAAAGGUGCUGAAUAUUAAUAUAUAUAAGUCGCAUUUUGUUUGAUAAACCAAUUUGAACUAACAGUUCUUCCCCUUCAAAUAAAGUUUUCCUUAAAUAUUGCAUUUCAAGAAAUCAAAUUAUUAGAUGUGCAUUUUAUCAGCAAAGCAGUUUUAAACUUAAUUGAAAAGUUUUUUAAAUACUACAUAUUGAGAUGUUCUGAGGGACAUGUUCUUUUUUCUUUUCAUAUGAAUAUAUUUUUCUGUAAUUUUAAACCUUGUAACCAUGAUUCUAAUACUUCUUAAGUAUGAACACGUCCUUAACCACACAAACACUAACAAGUGAUAAAAAUUCGAACAUAUUUUUCAUACAUUAAGUAAUAACAUAUAAGGUUCCUUCUAAAUUUGAUUUCAAACCUUAAGUAGGAGAUAAGAGAUGGGCCACUAUUUAGUUGUUUCUAAAAUUUUGAAUUUUCUUUGCUAAAAUUAAUGGAGCUAGAAAACAAUGCUAGAUUUUUAUACUAUACUCGCCCUUCUAAAUUGGACCAAAAAAAAAAAAACAAGAACCCUUCUAUUUUGUGUGCUCAAAGGGUACAGGGUACAAGAAAAACAUAACUCAAACGUAAAUAUACACAAAUAAUAGUUAAAACAAACAAAUCUCGACCUUUUUCUUUUUCAAAAUAUCAUUCGAUAAUUGUUUAUGAUUUGAUCUGUCACAAAAAGUUAAAGGAUCUGUCAAACGGGUACCCAUUAAGAUAUGUCUCAGGUAUCAUAUUUUUUUUUGAAACAUAAUGGGUCCGUUUGGAUUCUUGUUUUUGGACCUGUUUUUGAAAAACUGUUUUUCACAAUCCAAAUGCUACAGUAAAUGUGUAUUUCAAAAACAACUCCAAAAACACCAAUAUCCAAACAAUAUAUCAAAAACAACUCCAAAUACAUAUUUAAUAUGUUUAUUUCAACUUAUAUAUUUCAAUUAUGUAUAGAAUAUAUAUAUAUUAUAUUAAUUUAAAUAUAUUUAUUUAUACAUAUUAUAAAUAUUUUACUUUAUAUAAAAUAUAUUUUUAUAUAUUUAUAUAAAUUAUAUAAAUUAUAUAAAUUAUAUAUAUUAUAAAUAUGUUAUUAUACAUUUAUAUAAAUGUUAUAUAUUAUAUAUAUUUAAUAUAUACAUAAUAUAUAUUAUAUAUAUUGAACAUUUAUAUAAAUGUACAUUUAAACAUAAUAUAUAUAUUUAUGUAUAUUUAUAAUAUACAUUUAUAUUAUGUAUUAUAUAUAAUAUAAUACAUUUAUACAUUUAUAUUAAUAUACAUAAUAUUAAUUACACAUUUAUACAUAAUAUUAAUAAAUGUAUACAUUUACAUUUAUUACAUUAAUACAUUUAUACAUAGUAUUAAUAUAUAUUUAUAAUAUAUUAAUUUAUACAUUUAUAUAAUAUUCAUUUAUAAUUUAUACACAUUUAUAAUAAUAUACAUUUAUAUAUUUAUAAAUAUAUUUAUAUUAUGUAUUAUAUAUAAUAUAAUACACUUAUAAUACAUUUAUAUAUUUAUUUAUAAAUAUAAUAUAUAAUAAAUAAAUAUAAUACACUUAUUUAUUUAUAUAAAAUAUAUAAAUUUAUUUAUAAAUAUAAUAUACUUAUUUAUUUAUACAUAAUAUAUAAAUAUAUUUAUUUAUAAAUAUUUAUAAUUGUAUUAUAAAUGCAUAAAUGUAUAUAAAUAUAAAAACAUAAAAAUUAUAAAUUAUAAAUUAUAAUAUACAUUUAUAUAAUAUUCAUUUAUAAUUUAUACACAUUUAUAAUAAUAUACAUUUAUACAUUUACAAAUAUAUUUAUAUUAUGUAUUAUAUAUAAUAUAAUACACUUAUAAUACAUUUAUAUAUUUAUUUAUAAAUAUAAUAUAUAAUAAAUAAAUAAAUAUAAUACACUUAUUUAUUUAUAUAUAAUAUAUAAAUUUAUUUAUAAAUAUAAUACACUUACUUAUUUAGAAUAAUAUAUAAAUAUAUUUAUUCAUAAAUAUAUAAAUAUAUUUAUUUAUAAAUAUUUAUAAUUGUAUUAUAAAUGCAUAAAUGUAUAUAAAUAUAAAAACAUAAAAAUUAUAAAUUAUAAAUUAUAAUAUACAUUUAUAUAAUAUUCAUUUAUAAUUUAUAUAUUUAUAGUAAUAUACAUUUAAACAUUUAUAAAUAUAUUUAUAUUAUGUAUUAUAUAUAAUAUAAUACAUUUAUAUAUAAAUAUAUGAAUAUAUUUAUUUAUAAAAGUACAAAUAUAUUUAUUUAUAAAUAUUUAAAUAUAUUUAUUUAUAAAUAUUAAUAAAUGUAUUAUAAAUGCAUAAAUGUAUAUAAAUAUAAAAAUAUAAAAAUUAUAAUUUAUAAUUUAUACAUUUAUAUAAUAUUCAUUUAUAAUUUAUACAUUUAUAAAUAUAUUUAUAUUAUGUAUUAUAUAUAAUAUAAUACAUUUAUAUAUUUUUAUAUAAAUUUAUUUAUGUAUAAAUAUUUAUAAAUGUAUAAUUAUAUAUUGUUAUAAAAAUAUAAAAAUUAUAAAUUAUAAAAAUACUCGAAAAUAUGUUUUAAAAAUACAUCUAAAAAUAAUCCAUAAAACAUCUACAGUAAAAGUUUUUUAUAUAAUUUUUGAAAAAUAACCCCAAAAACAAGUAAUCCAAACGGACUUGUAUUUGAAAAACGAAAUGCUAGAGUGCUGUUUUUGAAAAACAACCCCAAAAACAGCUAAUCCAAACGGACCCAAAAUAUUAACGAUUUGUCUAACAGGUGCCCAAUUAAAAUAUAUUUCAGAGUUAUAUUUUUAGAAAUAUAAGAUUAAUUAAGAUAAAUAAAUAAAUACAAGGGAGAAGAGGUAAGAUUAAAUAGGAUAAAUAUAUAAAUGCAAGAAAGGAUAAUAAUUAUUAGUAUGUAUAUGUGUGUGGUAAAUUAGGUAAAUACUAAGUAUAUUAACGAGUACUCUGAGGGUACCAGUUAAAAAAACUCAAUAUAUAAAUACAAAAAAGGUAAUAAUUAUUAAUAUUUGUACAUAAAUGAUAUAUUAGGCGAACAUUAGAUUUUUUUAAUGCUUUGGGCACACAUUAAAAAGAAUCCAAAGUUAAAAACUACUAAAUAGUUGUUUAUUCUAUUAUUCACAAAAGCAGUUUAUUGUAUUAAAAAGUGGAUUAGACUUGAAAUCACAUUGAUUGAUUAAUUAAUUAAUUAAAAUCCAUUUGAUUGACCCUAAAAAUAACGGUCCCAUGAUCAUCUCCCAAAAUUCCCAAUAUUUAGCUCGCAUAAAAUAGUAAACUACACCCCUCCCUGCCCCAUGCCGUGGGCCCCCCCACCCCUCACUCUCCCUUUCUUAACCAACAGUUACACACUAACGCCAUUCCCUCUCUCACACACUCACGCACCAAAACUACUACCCACUCACCACGCAGAGAAACUAUAGUUAACAUCAACCUUCCUCAACGCACGCAGCUAUACUCCCACACCAAUCUGUGUGUGUAUGUAUAUAUACAUAUAUAUAUGUACUCGCCAGCCUAUGCAUACAAGUAAUUUUUCUAUAAAUAUAGACAUCACUGUUACGAACAAGCACACACCUGCGCGCACAAAGAAACAGAUAGAAAGAGAUAGAUAAGAGAGAGAGAGGAGAGUGGAGGAAAUUCUGCGCAUUUGCUUUAAUGGAGUUGAAGUAAGCGUAAAUAAAGAGGCGGUGACGGUGGCGUUGGCGGAUCUUAAACCCUAGCGGAAACGAAAUUGCUCGCCAUUUUCGGCUGUUGAAACGGUUUUUUUACAGCACCGAAUUCUCUAGAUCUUUGGAUUUUGGUGAAUUGUUGACGGCGUUGAAGUUAGUUAUAGUUUCUGUCGCCGGCGGAAUUCGAUAGAGCUGAGCAUUUGUUAAAAGAGGCACAGAUUUGCGGUGACGAUGAGUUUUUUUGUGGUGAAUUUUUUUCUUUGAGGAGAAAUGGUGAUGGAUGAUAGAGGAGGAGGAUCGUUUGUAGCUGUGAGGAGGAUUUCUCAAGGCCUUGAGCGAGGCAGCAACAACACUUGCCAUUCUGGUAUAUUUCCUUUUCUUUUCGUUUUUCUUUUUUGAAAUUUAUGUCGUAUACCGGUAUACGUAUAAAAAUACGUAUACAUGUCGUGCUUAUAUACGUACAGCUGUGGUAAUUAAUUAAGUACCUUUUGUUGUUCACCUAACUUUUUCCUAUAUUACCAUAUGGUCGUUAUUUUUGCUAUCUUCUGAUUAUGUAUGUGCAUGUAUGAGUUGCUUCGAUUGAUGUUAGGAGUAGGAGUAAAAUCUAGAAGUUUGGAUCUGUCAAAUUGAAAUUUAGAUUUGUUGAUGCCUACUUGCAUUGACACUUGUGGUGAGUUUCUGCAGCUACUUGCAGUUUAUGUACUAUUUGUUUAAUCCGAUUACCGUUAUUUUUUAGUUCUUUACAUUUUGAAGGAGUUUACUGACAUUUGGACUCUUUUAGUACUCCCAGUUGAUAGUCAAGUUCCAACCAGAAAAAAUAAUUUGACUGCCAAGUUCAAUAGUAAAUAGCACAACUAAAUGUACUGUAUGGUGAUACAUUAUUAGUACAUUGUUGUGCAGAAAUUAUGUUAAUGUGGGAAGGCAUUUAGCUGAUUCACAGUUAUGUCUCAGUAGCUUGAUGUGUAGGUGGAUUCACAUUGUUCCUGAUUAACAAUUUCAAGUUUGUGUUGUGGCAUUCACAAAAUGAGUCGGAUUGCAAUCUUGAUGUAUUAUCUGGAAAAUGAUCAACCGCUUAAUGUAUGUCUUGAGGAAUAUGGUUCUUAGAUGAUUGCUUGUUGGCUUUUUUCAUGCUCAUAUUGUAUGACAUAGGUUUGCAUUGGGAUCUUAUCUGAGGUGCAUGCAGAUCUUCUGUGGGAUUUCAGUCCCAAUUGUGGUACCAUUAACAGGAAAAUUUUCUUAUUUUUCUGGGAAAAUAGGGUCAAGGAAAUAGUUUUCUCUAAAGAUUUUCUUACUGCAAAGGUGGUUGGCAUACCAAAUAUUUUUCUUGCCACUGUAAUGCAGUAAAAUUUGUUGGGGCUUUCCUGGCUUCAUUGCUGUCUCUGUGUGUGUGUGUGUGUGUGUCUCUCUCUCCCUCUGGGUUGGUUGUCUUGCAUUUUGUAGAACAUGUCAAAGAAUUUUAAAGGGUAUAGUGCAACUUGAAUAUGUUUUAUUGCAGAUGGUCAAUCAGACUUCUGCCCCUGAACACUGUAUUCAACUUGCUGUCUGCAUUUAUCUGUCUUUAUGCUAAGCUCAUGAAUAAUCCUUAGUUCUUCCAAUGAAAGUGUUUCAGAUUGCAUUAACUUUUAGGCAAUUUAAGUACGUUGCAUGUCAGUUUGUCUAAUUACUAUUGCAACAUUUAUUCCUUGGUCAAUUACAUAGCACUGUCAGCUGUCCCCACUGCUUGUAGGGACAAUCAUUCUCAAGAUAUGACCAUGAAGAAACUGAUUUUGAAAUAUAGUGGCAUCGUGUCUUUCUUUGGAUUGAGUUAUCUUUUAGUUAAACUUCGCUUUGUUUUUUACAUGCAAAUUGUUCUUGGUAGUUGCUGUUCUGUGAAAUUCUAGAAAGUGUGAAGCAUUCAAAUCUGGAUUUGUUUGUCCAACCGUUUUGUUUUGUCGCAGCGGAGGUUGUCGCAGGAUCUGCAGCAUGGCUUGGAAGAGGUCUUUCUUGUGUUUGUGCUCAGAGAAGAGAAAGUGAUGCUCGCCCAUCAUUUGAUCUGACACCUGCUCAGGUAAUAACAUCGUGGAUUAAAUAGUCUGACGUUCAGGCAUUACUUUUUUGGUCUCCGAAGGACAAAGAAAUUGCAACGUUGCACGCAUUGUUUGUUCUUAUGUUUAACUAGACGGUGAAUAACUAAACCAUCUUCUCAUCUCGUUAUCAUGUUUGUUGGACCUUUUGCUCCUCACAUGCUGUUAUAGGUUGUCUCUUAAUGUGCGUCAGCCAGCUGUCCAUUUGUUGCUCCUUUUUUGGGUGGCAGGAGGGAGGGGGAUUCUUCCAAAGUUGCAGAUUUAUAUGGUGGAACUGUAUGUAGGGGUGUUUUUUCUUGGCUGCAUAACUUGAUUAAGUGACAUCUGUGUCUUUAUCUACUAGAUGCUUUAUGUAUCUGUGUGUGCCCAAAAAUAUGAAAGUCUACAUAAGAGCUAAAAAUGUGAUUCCUUGAUUAUCUAAUAUUUGCUUGUGAAAGUAUGUCAGCAAUGUUUUAGCAUCAUUUUUAAUAUCUCAAUGUUUUGUGCACUGUUGGUUUGAUAGGAGGAAUGCUUGCAAAGGCUGCAGAACCGUAUAGAUGUUCCAUAUGACAGCUCAAAUGUUGAGCAUCAGGUGCACUUUAUGGUUUAGGAGAUUCAAUACUUCAGGCCUGUUUCACUAUUUUGUAUACGAAUUGUAUGUUCCUGAUAGUUCUUGUAUCGUUUCAUUAUCUCAAACAACAUUGAUUUCUUGUCACAGGAAGCUUUACGUGCUUUGUGGUAUGCUGCCUUUCCAGGGGAACAACUGCAUGGUUUAAUAUCUGAACAGUGGAAGGAAAUGGGUUGGCAAGGAAAAGAUCCAUCCACAGACUUUAGGUAAUUCUCCUACAUUUUUAGGAUUGAUGUUUUAAGCUAGUGCCCAUAAUUCUAUCAUUUUUCUUUUCUACCUCAUUCUUUUCUAUAUUAUCCUUACAUUUAAUCUUUGACUUUCUUUGUCAGAGGUGGUGGAUUCAUAUCCCUAGAGAACUUGUUGUACUUCGCCAGGAACUUCCCUGUAUGCUCGCUCUCUCUCCUUGACUAUUACUAUCCUGAUGAAUCAUUUGGUUUAAACCUUCUUAAGCCAUUGCCGUAAAAUUUUAAAAAUUGAUUUAAUGAAUAUUUCUAGUUAUAUGAGAAGAAUUAGCAAAACCAUUUGCAGCCAUACUGCUUGGUCCUCAUUCAGAAGCAUAAAAAGCAAUAUCAGUCCAUGCUGGCAAAUAUCUACAACAUGAGAAUGUGUUAUUUCAUCCUUGAUUAAUCUAAAAAUUUUGAUGGAUAGGAUUAUAUAGGGUCUUUAAGGUGUCAUUUCCUUGGAAACAGAUACUGAAUAGCAAAUGUUAUCCCUCCUGCUAUUGUGUUGAAUAAUUUGGUAUUCUUAAACACAUGGAUGUUCUUUGACACCACUCUACUUGGAUCAGCUUCUGUUUACUGGUAAAAACAAUUAGUUCUUGUUUCUUCCUGUAGUCAAUGAUGGGCUCAAGUGCCUUCUUUCUGUGGUUUUCUUUAUUGUUUGUGGUUUCCUUUUUUGAAUGUGCAAAUAAGUUCACUUAGUAUGUUUAACUUUUGCCUGUUUCAAGUGGGAAUAUGUACUUGGUGAUGUGACCAUGACAUUUCAUGGGACUUUGCUUUUCACUGGUUGAUGUGCAAUACUUGGUGGGGGUGUCAUGUUCUUGAUACCCAUACUAAAGUGAUUACAUCUCUUUACCGACUUAGCUUGGCUGUAAAAUAGAUGUUUACUUCAGAUAUCUAGUGGUAUCUCAGACUACUUAAAGAGUGAUGGGGGCUGUUUUUGGAGAGAGUGACAGUUUCUCUUUAAGAUUCUGUACAGGUAUCUAGCUGGAUUUGAGCCGCUUCCCUUAUAUACUUAGAUGUGCUUGGAGAAGUCUCAAUCUGGUUUUUGAUUGGUUACUCAUAAUACUGAAUGCCUGGCUUUCUGCAGAAAUCCUUCCAGGAUCUUCUUUGCAAGCAAGAAGGUGACCGGGCUAUGUGGGAGUACCCGUUUGCUGUUGCUGGAGUGAACAUCACAUUCAUGCUGAUUCAGAUGUUGGAUCUUGAAGCAGGUUUGCAAAUUGUUGUCAUUGCCUGAUUUUUGACAUGUGGUGUUGCUCAGAGUGAAACCACUAGUGGGCUAAUAUUUUUGGUGUGCAUGUGCAUGGAACGAUUGUCCUGAAGCUCUUUGGUUGAAACAUUUCCACAAUUAAUGGCUUCGUUUCUUGUCCUGCAUUUCGUGUGUGGUAGAUGUUAAUGUUUCCUAUGGCAUGAUGAUUUUAUAAAGCUGAGACUAGCUUGCAAAGUUGCAUGUUAUGAUUUUUCUUUUCCAUGGUAUUUCAAAUUAAGCUUCCAUGGCUGUGCAGUUGGGGUUCCCUCUCCCCACCCCACCCUCCCGGGUAGCCCAUUUCUUUUUGUAUUGUAGUAGUACAGAUAAAUAUCAUGAGGCAUGCAGGGUAUAAUCUUUUUUAGUCACAAAGUUUCAAGCACCCAUUCCUGAAAUGUAUUCUGAGUUGGAAUAACUUCUGCAUCAAGGCACACUUUCUGAUUUUGAUUUCUUAGCAGGCCUUCCUGUUUGUUAAUUAAGUUUUUCGUGUUAAUUCAUAGUGAAACCACGAAAUUUUGUAGGAGCAACCUUCUUGAAGUUUCUUGCAGGUAAGGCUACCAUGCUCUGCUGAUCAGUCAACCAAUUCUUUUCCUUGCUAUGUUUCUUUGCUAAUGCUCUUCUAAUUGAUUGAAAUUGUGGUUCCUACUAGAGGUUGGAUCUCACCAAUGUAUACACUUUUUGUCUUUUGCAUAGCAGAGAAUGAAUCAGCAUUUGACCUCCUAUAUUGCAUCACAUUCAAGCUGAUGGACAAUCAAUGGCUUGCCAUGCAUGCAUCUUACAUGGACUUCAAUGUAUGUAUCUGCAAACAUGAAUAGUUUUGGUAAUAGUGAACGUGUCUUAUUAAAGUUAUACUUCUCAGGAGUUGGUUUUAGCUUCAUUGCUUGCUAGCUGAAAACUAUCAUGUGUAAUAUGUUUAUGCUGUUUAUCAAUGGUGGUGGAGCUCUUAGUGUUUCUGGUUCCAUGUUUAUUCAGGAAAAUUGUGGACUCAUAGUCCAUACACUCACCAGUCAUAUUUACUAAGAUCAGAACCUCCAGUCUACCUCCUUGCCCACCACCUCCACCUCUUAUAGUUGGUAAAAUGAAAGCAGGCAAAUGGAUUUUAAUAAAAUGGAAUACCUGAGGCAGUAAUUUUGUAAAUUUAUUGCACUUAUUAUUAUAGUAAGAUUUUAUCUGUAAGGUGUUUUUCUAGGAAAUAUUGCUAGUUUGAAGUAUGUUUGGGUCGGCAAGUUUUGGAUUACUUGUUCUGUAGUUCAGAAUGCUUAUUUCUCUUUCCAUGUCUGAUGCAGACUGUGAUGAAAGCCACUCGUCGCCAGCUUGAAAAUGAGCUUUUGCAGGAAGACAUAACUCGUCUUGAAGACUUACCCUCGUACAGACUUCUUAAUCGUUAGUGGUAGUAUCUGUAACUUUCUGGGAAGAAAUGGUUAUAAAAAUGGCUACCGUGCAAAAAUGUUCGCAAUCCAUUGGUUAUGGUUGCAGCAUUCACAGGUUCUCCAUUUUUUAGUUUGUGGCUUAGAUUGUCUCUGUCCGUGAUACAUUUUUCUCCAGGAUUACAGCAUUCUUGGAGUUGCAUAGUUGCUAAUACGGUUUUAUUUUGGGGGAAAGUACAAAAGAGAUCGGGAUUCAGAUCCAUGCUUCAGGUGUGGAUUGAGUAACUAGAGCAACCAUGUUGAAGUUUCAGACGCACAAGUAUUGCAUACUCUCAGAUGUCUUUUCCAGCUUUCCCUAUUGUCUGCAAGUACAUAAGAGCUGUAUUUGUUUUCUCGAUUCUGUAAACAUGCCUCUGUAUUAACAAUGUAGUGGUAGCCAGCGUGAAAAACCUGCAACUCCUGUUUUCGCUUAGUCCUCGUUCUCUUGGAGAUCAAUGAAAUUUGGAGCAUAUUCAUGUUAUUCCGUUUGACUGGCAUUUAAUUUGACCCCGAAUAUCUUCUCCUACUAUGCAUGCAGGUGCCUGCGUGCAAUUAACGCAAUAAGAUCCUGAGGUUAUUGCGGGAGCCUUUUUGUCUUUAUAGUAACAUCUCAUUUGUGAGUUGUGAUAUUCGUGUGAAUUAUAUUGGCGUCCAACACACAGGAAGAGGUUUGAAAAGUUGUGUUUGUAUCCGCCGCAAGCCUGUAAUGGGGUAAAUCCAUCUUUGACCGUGGUGGAAAUGGCACUACGGACUAAGCAGUAAGCUCCGACGAAUCAUUCUUCAAAGACACGGGCAUCCCUCACCACCGUAGAUUCUGCAACCCAUCUCUGAUAACAACCCCCUCACUGACUAAAAACGAGUCCCUGAUCGUUGUAAAAACACUCCUGGGUACAGAGAUUUAAACCCAGAACGGCGUCUGCGGCGCUGCUUUUCUCGCACCCAACGCCCACCUCGACCGCGAUUUCCAAGCUUAAAAACCUGAAUUACUUAGAUGGCAUUCGGGAUUUUGUUGAAAAGUGCCAAGACCUGGCAGGACAAGAAAUCAGAGCGGUGCAUUUCGCAUGUCCUCACCCUCUAUGGGAAGGCUGGAUGCUAAAUGAUGCAAGGAAAUGCACGAAAUGGGCCUCGAGAGAACUGUGAAAACACUCAACAGUUUGCUAUGUGGCUUCUCUUCAGGCAAGGAGUUUAAGGAAAUGAAGCAGAUUUCUGUGUCAUUCCGAGGUUUAUGGAGUUUUUCCAGAUUUGGAUACGUAUAAUUGGAUAUUUGGAUGUUCAAAGCGUGUUUAGAGUCCGGUGAGACAAGUUUUACUUAUAAAAUAUUGGAUGAGAUUGAUAGGGUAGGGUUAAGCCGGAUGGGAGGACAUUUUGCCGAAUGCUUACUGGGUUUUUGAAGGUUAAUGAGGCAAGGCAGAUUAUUGCAGAAUUGAAGCAGAAGUUCUCGAGGAAUUCUCCAAGUAGAUUGAAGGGAGAUUGACUGAGUGGAGAAGUCGAACAUGGUGUGCUUUGGAAUUGUAGUAUGUUAUGUUAGCAUAGUUAUGAUCAUAAAUCUGUAAGCAGGCUAUCCUUGUAGAGAACUUCACUUUCUGGGGAAGAAAAUUAUGAUUUACGUGUUGAAUUUUGUAGACUGCGAGAUGAUUAUCUUAAGCUUGGUGGAGGUUGAUAAAUCUUUUAACCGCUAUGGCUUCUAAAAUUCCUGUUUGAGUUUAAGACAAUGACAAUCUGUCAUUUUAAGUAAACUACGUCAUUUUAAGACAAUGACGCGAGCUCUCUUGCUUGUUUCUAUGCUUUUUUUCUCGUCUUUCUGCAAGCAGUUACUAUCGCUUUCAUAUUCUUCCUUGCCUGCCUCGUACUAACUGUAAUUAGAUACGUUCAAAUUCCAUUACCUAGGAGUUCCUGGCAUCUGCAAUCACUUCCUCAAUGCAUCCAAUUACCAGUAUUCCUGAUGCGAAAUCAUUUUUGGUCGAGUACAAUGGAACAGAUCUAAUUGAACUAGGCCAUCUGUAUCGACCCUUUUAACUACCUCGACCAUAAGCAACCUGGAUACUCGGGACCUUUUAUGUCCCCAUUCCACUGGAAAAAAAUGGGUUAGGAACAAAGGUUUACCACUCUUAUUUGACAAUCCGAUCUUGAACCCCUUGGGAAUUCUCAGAAGACUGCUCUAGGUUUGCCAUACAAUAACAGGAGCUUAAUUAAACUAGCUUCCCAGUGAAACAUUUCACUGCAUUGGUUUAUCGGCCUUGUACGCGCAGGGCGCAAUCAUGAGAGAGCCAAGAGCACACGCUGUAAAAUGUUCUUCGUGCGCGCCAGAAAGUUUUUAAGUAUGAAAGAAGAGAUAGGAAACCACAAUCAACAUAGCAAGGACCACAAGCCUAUCUAAAAACCAGAACUCAAUAGGAAAAGUAGCAAAUGUCAUGAUAAAUAUCAAGAUAAUUCCACAUAACCAUAGCUAAAAUCUGAUCUCAGAGGCGUAACAUCAAGCCUCCAAACUCAACUGAAGUCAAAACUUAUAAAUACCCUAAUGCAAGGGAUCAUCACAUAUACGUUAAGCAAAUAGGUUGAGAACCUCAGCAUCAGAUGACUCUUCACUCAUAGAUCCAAGGAUGAAGGCUGCUCUGCCAUUCUGCAAUUCCU
This 48530-nucleotide long non-coding RNA is filed under the name Coffea arabica (coffee). RNAcentral describes it as "long non-coding RNA (CARA_LNC001699)". Lineage: Eukaryota; Viridiplantae; Streptophyta; Magnoliopsida; Gentianales; Rubiaceae. The record is from RNAcentral.